Molecule: long non-coding RNA, 70159 nt
Filed under: Citrus maxima (pomelo)
Lineage: Eukaryota; Viridiplantae; Streptophyta; Magnoliopsida; Sapindales; Rutaceae
Description: long non-coding RNA (CMAX_LNC000490)
Source: RNAcentral
CAGGAUAUAAUUACGGGUGGAACCGACACCACAACUACGAUGGUGGAAUGGACAAUGGCAGAGUUGAUGCAGCAUCCACAAGUAAUGAAGAAAGUUCAGGAAGAAUUAGCUCAAGUUGUGGGCAUGGACAGUUGUGUUGAAGAAUUUCAUUUGCCUAAACUGAAAUAUUUAGAUGCUGUGGUGAAAGAAUCGUUUCGUCUGCAUCCUGCAGUGCCUUUAUUAGUACCACGCAGAGCAAGCGAGAGUGGCAGCAUUGGUGGCUAUACCAUUCCCAAAGAUACAACUCUUAUGUUGAAUGUUUGGGCUAUCCACAGGGACCCUCAACUUUGGGAUAAUCCCUUAGAAUUUCGACCCGAGAGGUUUCUGAAUGUUGGUGUCGAGAGUAAGUUCGAUUACUCAGGUAACAAUUUUCAGUACUUACCUUUUGGUUCUGGUAGAAGAAUGUGUGCUGGGAUUCCUCUAGCUGAGAGGAUGCUGAUGUUUGUUUUGGCUUCGUUAUUGCACUCAUUUGAGUGGGAAUUGCCAGCUGGCACAAAGCUAAAUUUAUCUGAAAAAUUUGGGUUUGUCAUUAAGAAAAAAGAGCCUUUGGUUGCUAUUCCAACACCAAGACUAUCCAAUUCAGAGCUUUACCAUUAAAACAGAAUGAUUGUGAUGAUUUUGUUAGUAUCGGAAGAUUUGUAUGUUAUUUCAAGUUCAAUCGUAAUAAAAUAUUUUAAUAAAAGUCCUCCGUUGCUAAUUUUUUUUUUCAACGGCAUAAUCUGUCAUCAUGCUUGUGUUUGGAGCUACUUUGGAAUGAUUAUUUUUGAAUUACAAUUUAUAAAUAUUUAGGUUUUAAAUUUUUUAUAAGAGUCUAAAUUUAUACACGUUCAGUAAAAGAUUCCCUAAAAGCUUUACAAUUCAAAAUUCUAUUAAAAGUAUAGAUGAAACUUUUAUACCUACUAAUUUUUUGGUCUAUUCUACAAGUUUAAAGAGGAGAUAUUUCUAGAGCUAGCAAAAAGAGCUACCUGAUUGUUUUCGCGUUAUGUCAAUUUUUUUAUUGUGUUAAAUUUAAUUUGACCCACAUAUGACCCAUUUAAUAAUCGUGUCAAAAUAUUGAAACUUGAACUUGAUACGGAAAAUAAAUGGAUGACCACACACACCCAUUUAAGAAUUAGGUAACUAUGUCACUUAAUACGACAUAACCCAAUAACUCGUUUAAUACAUAUUUAACAUAAUUUACAUUGUACAUUGUACACCCUUUUGUCAUAAAUUACACUAUUUUAUAUUUCUAAAUAAUAUUAUAUAUUGAUAUUAUAAAAAAAUAUCAAUAAUCUCAAAAUUUGUACACCUCCUAACUUUUAAAAAGAAAUAAAAAAACUAAUUAAUUAAUGUUUAUUUUAUUCAUUAAUAUAUCAUAAUCCUACAUGUAUUUUAUUUGUUAUUUUUUUUAUUUAAAAAGAUAGGAGGGUGGAUGAAACUCAAAUAAAUUUUUAGCCUAUCCUGAUCUUUCAAGUUUCUUAUUUAGGAGGCCAGUUAAAAAAAAUUACUUAGAAAGCUACUCCAUCAAUUUAACAAAUUUUAUUUAUUUAAUUAAUGGAGGUGUAGAAAAUAAAAGUAUCUGCAAGCACAUUGCAAUAGUGAAAGCAAUGUACCGGUGUUGCAACAUAACUGAAUCUUGAUAACCUAUCACAUAUUUUAAGUUUUAAUAUUGGUAGUUCACGGAUCGGUUUCUACUUCCACGAACAAUUAUUGAAGGAAAUGAGUUUUUUUUUUAAUGAAUAUUUAUAGACCCCGAUUAAAUAUUCGAAUAUAUAAUAAAAGAGAAACUGACAUAGAAAUGAGAAAGAUAUUUGGAGGAGGCCAAAAAAAAAAAAAAAAAUGCAACAGAGAAUUAGAUCAGCAACACAAGUAACUAAUUAAUUCAUCUAUACAUCAUAAUCCUAUUUGUAUCUUCUUCCUUCUACUAAUUUACAUAUAAAUUUGGUUAGAUAAAACAUAUUUUAAUACUCGGUCACAAGCGGUGGAUAUAGAAAAUUAAUUUAGAGGGGGUAAUACCAUAACGAAAAAUAAUGAUUCAUAACUAAAAUCAACCCCAACAUCAAAACUUAUUUACAAGAUUACGCCCAGUCAAAGGUAAUUUUUCCUAAAAACUAAUACGAAAUUAAAUAAAUUUAACUUUUAGUGGGUUCAAGUGCCCACGCAUUCUGAACGUAGAUCCACCCCUGGCCCCGACUGAAGCAUUUUUUACAAUAUGUACUCAGUUUAUCAACAGGAACAACCUUCCACUUUAAAUUAAAAUUUUCACUUAAAAAUGAUUAAUGUUAAUGAGGUUAGCAACAAAAAUGAGUUUAAUUAGAGAAUAUUAUAAGAGAAAUUAUAUUUUUUGACUUUUAAUAAAUUAAAAUAUUAUUAGUUGGUGGUGGUUUCACGUCAGAUUAAGACGUGACACUUUACUUAUGAGGUCGAGACAAUCGACUUAAACUAUUUCAAUGCAUUUGAAAUUUGCACUAAUGGCUAUCAUUCUUUGUCCAAAUUAAUACGAUAAUUAAUAACAUACAAUUGAAAUAAUUAAUACUAGCACUUGGCAAUAAAUAAAGCUCUUGUGCUUGAAUCGUCACACAUGAUCACUUCAUUCCUUUAUUUACUUUGCUACCACAAAUUUUGAGGCAUUAUAACUAAAUAAUAAUUGAAUAGGGCUUUGUGUUACUUGUUGUGCGCGCGGAAUGCGGAAUCAAGCACACCAAAUUAUUACAGAAAAAUAAAGGACACAAUUAUUUGACGUGGUUCGGUAAUUAAACUUACAUCCACGGAGGCAAGAAAGAAUAAUUGUUUAUUUAACAAUUAAUAGAGUACAAAUAUUUGAGUAACGAAUCUCACUUCUCAGAAACCUAAAUAUACCCAAUACUCUCACACUCUGCAGGAAAGAUAAAUUAUCCAAACACACUUCUCUCACUUCUCUAAAAAACUUAAAAAUUUAAAAACUUAACAAUUUUGGAAUGCUUUAGAAUAGAAGAAGUGCCAUCUUAUAGGAAAAAUAAUGAUACUAUUGCACCAACCUCUUUACUAUUCCACCUAACAUAAGCAAAUUGUCAAUAGUGUCCAUUUAACUUUUUAUUUUUUUUCUUCAAUUGUUUAGUAGCCCUUUAAAAAUCUGCGUGGUUUCUUGAAAUUUAGAUGCCACAUGCAUGACUUUUCAACACUAAUUACUACGAUAAUUAAUAUUAGCACUUGGCAAUAAAUAAAGCUCUUGUGCUUGAAUCGUCACACACGAUCACUUCAUUCCUUUAUUUGCUUUGCUACCACAGAUUUUGAGGCAUUAAAACUAAAUAAUAAUUGAAUAUGGCUUUGUGCGUCGAUGACGCCAGCAACAAGGGGACCACAAUUAUCACUUUUUAAGUUGCUUUUAAAAUUGAUUUUAAUAGUGAUUUGAUUAUUGUAGUGUUUUUAUUUUUAUAUUAAAAUUAAGUCGAUUUGUUAUAAUAAACUUAGUUGAGUUUAAUGGUAUUACUACAUAAAUUGAAUAGUCAUCAAAUAUUUUAAUGUUUUUAUGGCAAGUGUUGACGUGGCAUUUAUUUGUUGUAUGAUGGAUUUUAAAAUUUAUAAAAUUAUUUGUUAUUAAAUUACCCCCAGAUGCUGCAUCACCUGAAACUUAAUAAAGGGCAUGUAGCAUUGCCAUUACUCAACAUUCACUCUUAUGACUUUAUGACAUUAGAAUUAAAAUCUUUCGUACAUUUAAUUUGUUUGCUUCCAGAUUAAUCUUUAAAAAUAUUUUUUUCACAUUAUCAUGAAUGGACAAAACUCCAACGAAAAUAACUACGCAAGAGCAAUCUAUGCUAGUAUUAUAUGCCACGAUAUCUAUAACUUUGUCAGGUCUCAGGAUCGAUCAUUCUAAUUUUUACGCAGAACUUUUAAUCAAUGGACAAACACCUCACCGAGCUUGUCGGCAGCAUUACUACGAUGUAAAAUUGUACCGGAAUAUCUUGAAGUAUUAGUAGAAUAAUGAAGACUAUUUGGAGCAAUAAAAACAAAUAACGCAGAUAAAAAAAAUGGCUAAAAUUAUGUAAGUGAGCCCCAAAGUUUUUGCUAUUUCCAGGAAAUCCCAAAUUUGAAUGGACUAGAGGGAGGCACGUAAGAAAUACAUUUUCUUCCUAGACAAUGACAGCUAUGACAUCAAGCCACGUAUUGAAAUUAAGGUGUAAUUAUUCAGCCAAUGAGCCUUACACACCAAGAUGUAUAAAAGUCAAGAAAAUGAAAUUUUAUCCCAAUUAAAACACUUUCUGGCUGCAAUUGGCUGUUUCCAUUUGAAGUUAAAAAACAACAACGUUUCUUUCGUUUUGUGGGCGAUUCGAUUGAGCACGCGCCACGAGCUAGCUGGCUUCCAGUGCUUGCGUGUGACAAUAGAAGGCUAGUGAUUUCACUUUCGCUUUUUUUUUUUUUUCUUUUUUUUGGGGAAUCAAGAUAAAAGCCAAGAAAAUGAAAAUUGGGCUGUUUCCAUUUGAAGUUAAAAACAGUGUUUCUUUCGGGGCGUCAAUUUGAUAUUUGAAUGGACAGGCAAGUAAGAAAUACAAUUCCUUCAUAGACAAUGACAACGAGGACAUCAAGGCACAUCAUUAUAGUUUGUAGCCCAUCUACAUUUAAACGAUUAAUAAACAAGCUUAGGUGUGCCACUGCUAUUAUUAAUUAUCCCCUGAUCAUUAUAGUUUCUGAAACAGUAAAACAAAACGAAAUUGAAUACAUCAACGAGAUCGCAAUUAUCACUUGUUUAGUUGCGGUAUUUAACUUAAUUUUAAUCUAAUAUAUUUGUUAGUUAAACUUUUAAUAAUCAAAUAAUUUUGACUUAAAAAUAAAAUUAUAGAAAUUAUUAAUUAUUAAAAAUUCACACAUAGCUAUUGUUUUCUCUAUAUAUUGCAGUGUGUACGAUAUUGAGGGUUGAAGCCCAAAGCAUGCCCUAAAAUCCAGAUAAUAAUUAGAUCCGGGCCAAAUAUUCAUCAUUGUGUCGGCUGAUCAGUCGGUGGACAUCUCUAUUGAAAAAAUCUCUGACAUUUCUCUCGACAAACUUAUUACUAAAAAAAAAUCAGUGGUUUUGCCGUCUGAAUAAUGUAGAAAAAUUUGUCUGUGCAUUAAUCUAGAUGUUUGAGGUGAUUUAUACAUCUGUGAUAAAGAUUUAUAGGUUGACUUAUACGUCUGUGGUAUAGAUUUUAUGUAUUUCAUUACAAAAUGCUGGCCGUUAGAACCCUUUCUACAUCUAUUUAUAAGAUUAACGGGUGCCAGUUAUGCCAUUACAAAUUAUCCCCUCAUCAGAUAUUUCGUUAAAAUUCAUUCUGAAACACUAAAACUAAAUAAUCGAACAUGGCUUUGCGGGUCGAUGAUGCCAGAAGCAAUUCGACUGCAAUUAUCACUUGUUUAGUUUCUGUGCUUGCCGUGGUUUACUUGGCAUGGAAUGUGAAAAAAUCAAGGAAAGCAAAUGCUAAACUGCCACCAGGACCUCCCGGCUUGCCUGUAGUCGGAUACCUCCCAUUUCUCGGAACUACUGACUUGCACAAGAAAUUCACGGAAUUAUCCGGAGUUUACGGUCCGAUCUUCAAGCUCUGGCUCGGAAAUAAAUUAUGUGUAGUGGUGAGCUCACCUUCCCUAAUUAGACAAGUGGUUCGUGAUCAAGAUACAACAUUCGCGAACCGUGACCCACCGAAGGCUGCACUAGUGGUCUCCUAUGGUGGCAAUGAUAUUGCAUGGUCCAAUUACGGUCCCGAAUGGAGAAAGUUGCGCAAAUUUUUUGUGGGCAAGAUGAUGAGUAACGCAAGCCUUGAUGCUUGUUAUGCUCUAAGAAAACAAGAGGUUAAAAAUACUAUCAGGGAUUUGUAUAACAACGACAACAAAAUUGGCAAGCCCAUUGACAUUGGUGAAUUGUCGUUUUCAACAUUGGUAUGUGCUAUACAGAACAUGCUGUGGGGUGAAGCGCUUGAAAUAAGAGAGAAAGGGACCACUAAUCUUGGGGCUGGGCUAAAAUUUAAGCUGGCAGAACUCAUGGUGCUUGCGGGAACACCGAAUAUUUCGGAUGUCUUUCCAAUGCUUUCAUGGCUUGACAUACAAGGUAUAGAGAGGAGAGCAAAGAAGAUUUCACUCUGGCUUGAAAAUGUUAUAAAUUCUACUGUUGAACAGCAUAGAAACAAGGAGUCAACUGUUGAAGGUGAAGAAAGAGCGGGGAAAAAUUUUGAAGGAUCAAGGAACAAGAACUUCUUGCAGUUACUAUUGGAGCUUCAAGAAAAUGAUGACAGUGCUUCCUCAAUUAGCAUGAACCAAUUCAAGGCCGUACUCAUGGUAUGUUAAGUAACUAGCAACGAACAGUUAUACAAGCACAGUUGUAUAUUUGCAUGAGUGAUAUUUUCAACCUUUUUUUUUAAUUAGAAUUUUAUUGUCACCUUUUGGACAGGAUAUAAUUACGGCUGGAACCGACACCACAGCUACGAUGGUGGAAUGGACAAUGGCAGAGUUGAUGCAGCAUCCACAAGUAAUGAAGAACGUUCAGGAAGAAUUAGCUCAAGUUGUGGGCAUGGACAGUUGUGUUGAAGAAUUUCACCUGUCUAGAUUAAAGUAUUUAGAUGCUGUGGUGAAGGAAACAUUUCGUCUGCAUCCUGCAGUGCCUUUAUUAGUACCACGCAGAGCAAGCGAGAGUGGCAGCAUUGGUGGCUAUACCAUUCCCAAAGAUACAACUCUUAUGUUGAAUGUUUGGGCUAUCCACAGGGACCCUCACCUUUGGGAUAAUCCCUUAGAAUUUCGACCCGAGAGGUUUCUGAAUGUUGGUGUCGAGAGUAAGUUCGAUUACUCAGGUAACAAUUUUCAGUACUUGCCAUUUGGUUCUGGUAGAAGAAUGUGUGCUGGGAUUCCUCUAGCUGAGAGGAUGCUGAUGUUUGUUUUGGCUUCGUUAUUGCACUCAUUUGAGUGGGAAUUGCCAGCUGGCACAAAGCUAAACUUAUCUGAAAAAUUUGGGAUUGUCAUUAAGAAAAAAGAGCCUUUGGUUGCUAUUCCAACACCAAGACUAUCCAAUUCAGAGCUCUACCAUUAAGACAAAAUGGUUGUGAUGAUUUUGUUAAUUUUCCGAAGAUUUGUAUGUUAUUUAGUUCAAUCGUAAUAAAAUAUUUCAAAUAAGAGUCCUCCGUUGCUUUUUUUUUUUUUUUUUUUUCAACGGCAUAAUCUGUCGUCAUGCUUGUAUUUGGAGCUACUUUGGAAUAAUUAUGUUUGAAUUACAAUUUAUAAAUAUUUACGUUUUAAAUUUUUUAUAAGAGUCUAAAUUUAUACACGUUUAAUAUCCCGCUUCAUAGAUAUUUAACACAAUUUAUAUCAUACAUUGUAUACCCAUUUGUCAUAAAUUAUACUAUUUUGUAUCUCUAAAUAAUAUUACGUAUUGAUAUUAUAAUAUAUAUAUAUAUGUUUAUCAAAAGACUAUACCAUUCAAUAUAUAUUGAAAAGAGAACAAAGAAGAUUUUCUUAUGGUUUAAAAAUAUUAUGAAUUCUGCUGUUGAACAGUAUGGAAACAAGGUCUCUGUUGUUAAAGGUGAAGAAGCAACAGGGAACAAUAUUGAAGGAAGAAAUUUCACAUGUUUAGUUGCUGAAUUUGCCGCUGUAUUCUAUCGGUAGUAGAGUUUUUAUUUUUCUCUAUUAAUUUAAGUCAAUUUUCUAUAACAAAUUCGGUUGAGUUUAAUUGUGUUAUAAUAUAAAUUGAAUGAUAAUAGAAUUUUCAACAAAUAUUUCAAUAUUUCUAUCUCGAUUGUUGAAGUGCCAUUUAUUUGUUAUGCGAUCGAUUUUAAAAUUUAUAAAAUUAUUUGUUACUAAAUUGCAUCAUAUGCUAAAAUCACCUGAAACCUAAUUCCAUAACUAACCCUUUAUUUUUAGUUCUCAAGAAAUCUUGUAAGAACAAAAAUCUUUUAUAACAAAACUUUUACAACACAUUAAUUUGUAACUCAUUCCUGUGCGCGAAUCACUCUCAAUUUCCUUCAAUUGCUGUUUAACAAUCAUCUACUUAUCAAAAUUCAAGCAUAAUCUUUUUUUUUUAAUUUCUUCAUCAUUCUUUAAAAAAAAAAUCAGGAUAUGCUGUUAAAUUUUGAAAUAAAUAAAUUAACCAAAGUUGGUUGAUGUGAGUGGUUCAAUGAUGAGCAUAAUUUAUAUACAUAUUUUACCUUUAAUUAUAUAAUUAUUAGUUAUUUUUAUUAGUUAUUUUUAAUUAAUUGAAUUAUUUUAUUGCAUAGAGAAUUAAUUGGAGAUUGGGAAACAAAAAGUGCAUAAAGAAUAACAAGUUUGGGAAAGCAUCAAUCAAAGCCGUGACGCAAUUAAGAGUUUAUAGCAUAUGAAGCCAAGAGUAAUUUGCACUCAAAAAGAAUUUCAAUUAUUCAAGUGACCUGGACCUGCAUGGCAUUGUAAUGCAUGGAAAGCAACUUAAAGGGGCCCACACUUGGCUUUUACAAUUGGAAAAAGGAAUCCUAGUGCAAGCUUAAUUGAUGAGCACGUGAGUGAGAGCAAAGAAAAUUAAAAGGCCAAGCCUUUUGGCUUAAGGAAAUAACAAGGUCGGUGGGGCCCAUUUUAAAGAGUAAUAUAAAAGCAAGCUUUUGGCUUUUGGAGAGAGGAGCCGCGAGAGGAGGAAAACGCAAGACAAAGAGAAGAAAAUCUGCAGCAGUUCGGCUUCUAUGGUUGGUUUUAUCUCUUUUGUUACUCUUAAUUCAAAUAUGUCUAGUUAAUUUUCUUAUAUUAAAGUUAAGGAUGAAACCCUAUUCAAUGAAAUAAUUAUCUUUUUAUUUAUUUAAUUCCCAUAUAUGUUCUUUAAUGAUUAUGAUUUUUAUUUCACAUGAUUAAUUGGAUGUUAUUAAAAUUUUUUCAUCAAUUCUGUCAUGCAUUAUUGAUUGUUAGGAUUAAUAUUCAAUUAAAUCUAUACUUAGAUUUAUAACGUUUAUACAUGAUUAUCUUUGAUUCUAUGUCUUUCAUUAAAUUGUUUACAUGGAGUGCUUAGGAAAACUUUGACUCUUUGUUAUUCAAUAUGUUCACAUGGGAUACUUAGAUGUCAUACUAUUAAGCGGAAAAAGAACCUAUAUUAGAUUUAAUUAUUUGGGCUUAAUUGUUAUAUCCAUGAGAUGACACAAAUUGAUUUCGAGUUGUCACUCUAAAAUUAGAGAUUAAUGAAUAUUUAGAUAAUUACUAGUUGAAUAGCGGUGGAUUCUGAAACCUUGGUAAUUUCUAUCUUAUUGAAUUCUCCUUUACUUUAAUUGUUUUCUUAGUUUAAUUAAUUUAAUUUCUUUUAAAACUCAAUUUGCUUAACUAGGUUAGAAUUAAUAUUAAUUUUAGAUUUAAAUUAGACUUUUCAAUUUAUAACAAUCCAUGUGGGAUCGACCUCGUUACCACUACUUUAUUUCUAGAUUCGUGCACUUGCGAGUAUAUUAAAAUUUUCACAACAAGUUUUUGGCGCCGUUGCCGGGGAUUGUGCCAGAAAGUCAGUUUAAUCUAGGUUGAUUUGAUUCUUCCACUAGUUAUAAUUUAUGUUGUCUUUUAUUUUAUUAUUAUUUUUAAUUAACAAAAACACACAAAAAAACUUUUAUUUUUCUUUAAAUUCAUUGUUUGGUUGUUUGAUUUCUUUUAUUUUUUAAAUUUUGUUUAUUCUCAUUAUUGUUGGUUUAUUUUAUUUUAUUUUUUUCUUUCCUUGUCUAGUUAGUUUAUGAGUGUUUGGGAAUGUGAUUCAACAAAUCGUUUGGUAAAAGAGAGUCAAAAAUUGAUAGUAGUCAAGUUAGUUCUUCUGAAGUCAUGGAUGACCCAAAUAGAUUAUUGCCAAUACUUCCACCAGUGCAAGCAGAGAAAACCCUUAGAGAAUAUUUUUCACCACUUGCAGCCAACCAACCAUCUUGUAUUGUGUUGCCACAAACUACAGCAACACACUUUGAACUUUUUGAACUUAAGCCCUCAGUCAUCCAACUUUUACCAUCUUUCCAUGGGUUAGAGAGAGAGGAUCCAUAUUUGCACAUUAAGGAAUUUCUUGACAUAUGCUCUACAUUCCGUUUUCAAAAUUUUAAUGAUGAGUUAAUCAGGCUUCGUAUGUUAUCUUUCUCAUUAAAAGACAAAGCAAAAGCUUGGUUGAAUUCGCUUUCUGCUGGGUCUAUAACUACGUGGGAUGAAUUGAAUAAUAAGUUCCUCACCAAGUUUUUCCCUAUGUCUAAAACAAAUGCCCUUAGGAGAGAGAUAAGUGAUUUCUAUUAAAGAGAGGGUGAGCAAUUUUAUGAGUGUUGGGAAAGAUUCAAUGAUUUACUCCUCAAGUGCCCCCACCAUGGUUUUGAGAAAUGGAGACUUAUACAAUGCUUUUAUAACGGUUUAACCAUGUCGAAUCGUCAUAUGGUAGAGUCUAUGAAUGGUGGGAGAUUUUUGAACCUACAUGAAGGGGCUGCAUGGGAUUUCUUUAAUUCACUUUCUGAGAAUUCUCAACAGUGAGAUUUUUCAAGCCAAAGGGAAAAAUCAUCUCAAGUUUCUAGAAAGGGGUUAUAUGAAGUUAAGGAUGAUUUUGAUGUGAAAUCCACUCUAAUUACACUUUCUAGAAAAGUAGAUGCCUUAGCUCUGAACCAAUCAAUGAAUCAUCAUCCUAGUGUAGCUAAUGAGGUUUGUGCUAUUUGUUCUAACUUGUCUCAAACAGCACAAAACUGUCCAUCAUUACCAGUCUAUCCAGAGGCUUAUUCUGAGCAGGUACAUGCCUUACAAUCAUAUGAGAAAACCUCCAAUAAUACAUAUUCACUCACAUAUAAUCCUAAUUGGAGGAAUCACCCUAAUUUUUCUUGGAAACAAAAUCAAUCUUUGUCAAACCAAGGAGGACAACAAUUUAACAUGCCCAAUCAACAAUUUGUCCCUCCUAACCAAGUAUAUCCUCCUGCCCAACAACCUAUAUCUCAAUUUGUUACACCCCAACAAAGAAAACCUUCUUUAGAGGAUACACUUCAAAGUUUCAUUCAGUCAACCUAAUAAGCUUUUCAGUCAAACACUCAAGCUAUUCUAAAGCUUGAACAUCAAUUGGGUCAAUUAGCAACUACUGUAGCGGAGAAAGAAAAAAGAAAAUUCCCCAGUCAAUCAAUUCCUAAUCCUAAAGGAGUGCAUGAAGUUGGAUCGAGUUCAAGCCAUCAGCAUGAAGAAGCAAAAUCAAUUAUGACCUUGAGAAGAGGAAAAUUGUUUGACAACAAAGUGGAGGUUCAAACAAAGAAGACAUCUGAGCCUACUUCUUCAGAUCCAAUUACAUCACAAGAAUCAUCACCAAAUGAUCUUGAAGAGAGUGACCCGCUAGCUUACAUUCCCAAGGCUCAUUUUCCUCAAAGGUUAACAAAGGUAAAGAAAGGGACUUCAACAUGUGAGAUUAUAGAAAUCUUCAAGCAGGUAAGUAUAAACAUCCAUUUACUCGAUGCUAUUAAGCAAGUUCCUUCCUAUGCCAAGUUUUUGAAAGAUUUAUGCACUAAAAAGAGAAAUUUGCAUGUCACUAAAAAGGCGUUUUUAACUGAACAAACUAGCAAUUUACUUCAAUGUAAAAUGCCACCAAAAUUUAAGGAUCCUGGUUCUCCUACUAUUUCAUGUGUUAUAGGGAACCAAUGUUUUGAUAAAGCAUUAUUGGAUUUAGGUGCUAGUGUUAAUCUCUUACCUUAUUCCAUUUACAUGCAGCUUGGACUAGGUGAGUUAAAAUCAACUCCUAUUAUUUUGCAACUUGCUGAUAGGUCAAUGAAAAUACCUCGUGGUAUUAUAGAGGAUGUGUUGAUACAGAUUGACAAAUUUUAUUAUCCUGUUGAUUUUAUUGUUAUUGAUACUCAACAUGUACAUGAUCUUAAGAAACACACUCCACUUAUUCUUGGUCGUCCUUUCUUAGCUACAGCUGAUGCUCAUAUUAGUUGCAGGACUUGAAACAUGCAAUUGUCUUUUGGUAACAUGACCAUGGAAUUAAAUAUUUUUAAUGUUCCCAAGCAGGCACAAGAAGAUGAUGAAGUCGUUGAAGUAGAUAUGAUAGAAGCAUCAAUUGAUGACUCACUUAUUUCUAACCAUUGUGACAAUCCAUUAAUACCUUGCACAACUGACUCUGAUUUCUCUAUUGAUGUUGAUAGUGAUAUUGAAGAAGUUAAUGCUUUACUUGAUUCGACUCUUAUCAUAGAUCUAAUUAAGUGGAAAGAAAAGAUAAGAUUGAGCCACUUCCUCCUGAAGAGAAAAGUGCAACAUAGGUCACAUUCUGACAUAAAAAAGGUGGUAAGAUCUAAAACGCUUAAAUUAUUAGAUUUUUAUACUACUUUAGAUAACUCUCAGGAAAGCUUAGAACAGAAGAGAUCAAAGCAAUGCGAUAUUGAGGAGUUUCAUUACCAUCAUCCUUUUAUGGAUAAAAUGCUCCAGUGCUUAAUCAAUUAUGCUUUUUGGUAUUUUCUAUAUAAUUGCUUUAAUUUUCACCAAAUUCUUAUUGAUCCUGGUUGAUUUGUUGUUUACAUUAAUUAGUUAGUUAGUCGGAUUUUUUUAUUAUUAUUUAUAUUUCUUCUAACGUUUUCUUUUGAGUUGUCAUUCUUUUAAGUUUUCCUAGCUCAGUCAGGUGUGUUCUCUCCAACUUUCUCUUUUAUUAUUUAUGUUUUUAUUUUUCAUCUUUUUGCGUGCAUAUCUUUUAUUUAUGACACAUUGAGGACAAUGUUCCGAAUAAGUUUGGGGGUGGGAAUAAUGUUGCUUUGUUUGUUAAAAAAAACUAAAAAAAAAUUUCAAAAAUUCAAAAAAAAAUUGUGUUUUUUUUGUUUUUACGUGAAAAGCCAAUGAUAAAAACUUGAUUGACAAUGAAUAUGGUUUUUAGAAAGGGUUUAAUAUUGUCUUAAUUUAUACUUGAUUCUUAUGUUAGUUCCUCUUGAUUGAGAUUCUUUAAAAUAUAAGCACUAAUAUCAAUUCUUUCAUAAUUUUGACUUGAAAUUUGAGAUUGACGCAGCCUGAGUUGAGAAUUUUAGAUAGAGUAAAUGACUGUUUGUCUUUAUUCUUAUCUCCACAAUACAAAAUAGUAUACACAGGCACCAAAGUCAGAAAUAACUACCUAUAAUCCUUAAGAGUGAAGCUAUCCUUGAGUAAUUUAGGCCUAUGUACCACAAGUAUGUAGAGGAUAAUCUACCAUGAGAAGAAUGCUACCUUAAGGGGUAGAGUGAAAGCUCCUGACUAUGGUUAAAAAAAAAAGAAGAAGAAAAAGAGAAAGAAAAAAUCAAAUCAAGUGCAUGUGCUGAAAAAAAAAUCAAAAGAAAAUGCACAUAAAAGCCUGUGAAAAAAAAAUUGGAGAUUAAGAUGAUAAGAUUAGCUUGACCUACUCUUUUCUUUUUUUGAGGCGAAGGUUGUUGAUAUUGAAGAUUUUAGGAAUGAAUUUGAUUGAAUUGAUUUCACACACACACAACAAGAAUCGAAAGAGAGAUGGGAUUGAUUAUUGAAUUAAAGUUAGAACUUUGCCAAUAUUUGAAAUUUUGUUUGAGCUAUAUAAUUUAUGCAAUCUUUGAGGGUAUUUUCAUAUUUUAUUUAAAGUUUUUUUUUCUUUUUAUUUUAUUUUAUUUAUUUUUUAUUUUUUUAAAAUGAUGUUUGUGGGUGUCAUCACUGAAGCUCUCACGAGACUAUAACUCGUCCACUAGGGGUUUAAAGGCUUGUUGCAUACGCUAAAUGCAAUCGCGAUUACCUGCGAAAAUGGUUUAGUUAGGAUUUACUUUUUGUUUUGUUAUUUUUUUUUUUUUUUUUAGUUUUAGCUUUGCUCGAGGACUAGCAAAAUCUAAGUUUGGGGGUAUUUGAUGAGCAUAAUUUAUAUACAUAUUUUACCUUUAAUUAUAUAAUUAUUAGUUAUCUUUAUUAGUUAUUUUUAAUUAAUUGAAUUAUUUUAUUGCAUAGGGAAUUAAUUGGAGAUUGGGAAACAAAAAGUGCAUAAAGAAUAACAAGUUUGGGAAAGCAUCAAUCAAAGCCAUGACACAAUUAAGAGUUUAUAGCAUAUGAAGGCAAGAGUAAUUUGCACUAAAAAAGAAUUUCAAUUAUUCAAGUGAUCUGGACGUGCAUAGUAUUGUAAUGCAUGGAAAGCAACUUAAAGGGGCCCACACUUGGCUUUUACAAUUGGAAAAAGGAAUCCUAGUGCAAGCUUAAUUGGUGAGCACGUGAGUGAGAGCAAAGAAAAUUAAAAGGCCAAGCCUUUUGGCUUAAGGAAAUAACAAGGUCGGUGGGGCCCAUUUUAAAGAGUAAUAUAAAAGCAAGCUUUUGGCUUUUGGAGAGAGAAGCCGCCAGAGGAGGAAAACGCGAGACAAAGAGAAGAAAAUAUGCCGCAGUUCGACUUCUAUGGUUGGUUUUAUCUCUUUUGUUACUCUUAAUUCAAGUAUGUCUAGCUAAUUUUCUUAUAUUGAAGUUAAGGAUGAAAUCAUAUUCAAUGAAAUAAUUAUCUUUUUAUUUAUUUAAUUCCCAUAUAUGUUCUUUAAUGAUUAUGAUUUUUAUUUCACAUGAUUAAUUGGAUGUUAUUAAAAUCUUUUCAUCAAUUCUGUCAUAUAUUAUUGAUUGUUAUGAUUAAUAUUAAAUUAAAUCUAUACUUGGAUUUAUAAAGUUUAUACAUGAUUAUCUUUGAUUCUAUGUCUUUCAUUAAAUUGUUUACAUGGAGUGCCUAGGAAAACUUUGACUCUUUGUUAUUCAAUAUGUUCACAUGGGAUACUUAGAUGUCGUACUAUUAAGCGGAAAAAGAACCUAUAUUAGAUUUAAUUAUUUGGGCUUAAUUGUUAUAUCCAUGAGAUGACAUAGAUUGAUUUCGAGUUGUCACUCUAAAAUUGGGGAUUAAUGAAUAUUUAGAUAAUUACUAGUUGAAUAGUGGUGGAUUCUGAAACCUUGGUAAUUUCUAUCUUAUUGAAUUCUCCUUUACUUUAAUUGUUUUCUUAGUUUAAUUAGUUUAAUUUCUCUUAAAACUCAAUUCGCUCAACUAGGUUAGAAUUAAUAUUAAUUUUAGAUUUAAAUUAGACUUUUCAAUUUAUAACAAUCCCUGUGGGAUCGACCUCGUUACCACUACUCUAUUUCUAGAUUCGUGCGCUUGCGAGUAUAUUAAAAUUUUCACAACAUUCGGCACUCUCACUCCUUAAGAGAGGUCAGGGGUUCAAGCCUCGCUCUCGUAUGGAGUCACCACUUUGACCAGCACUUUACCCCUUACAGACCGACCCGGUGCGAGCAUGAAUUAGUCUGGGUUGUGGUACGGGCUUAAAGGUGCCUCCCACAAUUGAGACCCACUCAGGACCACCUCGUGGUUCGGACAAAAAAAAAAUUGAAAUAAAUUAUCUCAAAAUAAUUACUAACCAGAAAAAACAAAGGGGUUUAACUAGGUUAUGCAUACCUUUGAAAAUUAUAUGUUGAUCGAUAAGCAUGAUGAUCACGAUUGAGGAGUUUAAUUAAAAUUUAUAAGAUUUUAAAAUUAAUCAGGGUUAAAUUCUAAAUUUUAGAAAGAGAGGUUUUGUGAGAAUGCUGAAAGGGUGUUAAUAGUUCCACUCUUUUUUAAAAAAACCAUAGUCAUCAUUUUUCCCGAUUUCUUCUUCCCAUCUCCAUCUUAUUUAGAAAUUUCCCAGAGCCUUUGUUUCCCACCAUUCAUUUUUCUUCUUUCUAAUUUAAGAUUAUAGUAUUAUAAAAAUAAUUACUCACAUUUUAUCAAACACCUCCAUUAUACCAAGGCCUUGUUUUAGUAGUAGGCUUUUAUUAUCUCAAUAAAAUUGAAAAAACAAAGCUCAAUAAUAUUGGAAAAAAAACCUACCCAUAUUUGUAACUUUAAUUUAUUAUUCUCCAUAGACCUACUUUUUAGCUUUGAAUUUUGUUGGAGCCAUAUAUAAACAGAAUAUGUUGAAAUCAGCACAAAAAAAAAACUAAUUAUAUAAUUUUUGUUCCCAAGGACACGACUGUGUGAUUUUUAAGAAGUUUUGUUUGGCUGGCCACUUAGGUUUAAAUCUUGGUGGAGAUUAGGGGUUAAGAAAUAAAUUUGGACUUUGCACACCCCUUUAACUUUUAAAAAGAAUGAAAAAAACUAAUUAAUUAAUCUUUAUUUUAUUUAUUAAAUGUCAUAAUCAUAUGCAUAUUUUAUUUGUUAUCUUUCUAUUUAAAAGAUAGGAGGGCAAAUAAAACUGAAAUAAAUGUUUAUCCCUAUCUCCAUCUUUCAAGUUCCAUAGUUAGGUGACCAGCUAAAGAAAAUUAAUUGAAAGUUACUCCAUCAAAUUAAAAAAAAUUAUUUAUUUAAUUUGUGGAGAUGUAGAAAAUCAAACCCCAUACCUUUUCGCAUGCAAAAGUGUCAACCUGGUCUAGCUAUGUUGCAACAGUAAACAUAUUUUAAUACAUGACUAUCAUCUUUUAUCCUAAAUACUACUAUAACUAUGGGUUCAGUUAUGCUGUAACUGUGGUAUGGUACCACAGUUGUUUUCAACCAUUAAAUUCAACUUAUAUAACUAUGCAACUGUAGAUCUAACGGCUGAAAGCAACUAUGGUACCAUACCACAGUUGCAACAUAGUUUUGCCCCUAUAACUCAUAACAUUCAAUUGAAAUAAUAAAUGUUAACACUUGGCUAUAAAUAAAGGUUUUGUACUUGAAUCUUCAUGCAUGACCUUCAUUCCUUUAUUGACUUUGCUAACACAGAUUUUGAGGCAUUAAAACUAAAUAAUAAUUGACUUUGUGGGCCGAGGAUGCCAGCAACAAGGAGACCACAAUUAUCACUAGUUAAGUUACUCUAAUUGCCGUUGUCUUAUAUUCAUAAAAUAUUAGUAAUAAGAUUAUUGUAGAAUUUUUUUAUAUUAAAAUUAAGUCAAUUUGUUAUAACAAAUUUAGUUGAGUUUAAUCGUGUUACUACAUACAUUGAAUAAUAAUAGAAUUCUCGACAAAUAUUUCAAUAUUUUUAUCCCAAGCGUUGGAGUGGCAUUUAUUUGUUAGACAAUCGAUUUUAGAACUUAUAAAAUUAUUCGUUACUGAAUUGCACCAUAUGCUGCAUGACCUGAAACUUAAUAAACGGAACGUAGCGUUGGCAACAUUCACUGUCAUGACUUUGUGACAUUAGAAUUAAAUUUUUUUGCACAUUUAAUUUGUUUACUUCCAAAUUAAUAUUUAACAAAAUAUUUUUUCACAUUAUCAAUGGACAAAACUCCAACGAAAAUAACUAUACAAUAUAUGCUAGUAUUGUAUGCCAUAUCAUCUGUAAUUUUGUCAGGAUCGAUCAUUUUAAUUUUUAAGCAAAACUUUUUAUCAAUGGACAAACACCUCACACAGCUUGUCAGAGGCAUUAUUAUGAUGGAAAACUGAUAAACAGUGAACUCGAAACUCAAUUACUACAAGUCGUUUAGAGGAUUCAGUCUUGGAUGACUUGUCACUUGUGGAAUUCUUGAAGCCAGAACCGACAUAAUCUCAGUCGUCAUUCUGUCUUAAGUAAUACACAUGGUUUGCAUGUGUGUUGAAGCUGACUCUUUGCUUGGAUCAAGAAACGACGUCUUUGAGUGCCGUUUCUUAAACACACUUUAAAUCAGCUUGUGUCAAGCACGUGAGGUAGAGCUUUUUGAAUAGAUUUGGCGGGAAUGGUAGUUAGUGUAACAACCCAGAAAUAGAGGUUAAAAGGUGAAGGCUUUGUCAUCAUCUACACAUGAUUUGGGAAACAUUGAGAGUAGAGAAAAAGAUAGAGAGAGAAAGGGGUUAACAAGUUCUUGUUCUCUGUAAAUCGAUUUAUAUUCUUGUAAAGUUUGUGAUCUCAAUUAGUGAAAGACUGUUGCUUUGUUUCCAGUGGAUGUAGGCACCACUUCUUGGUGCUGAACCACUUAUACUUGGUGUCAUAUUGUUUCUUUAAUGCUUUGAUUCUUGCGUGUGAUUGUUGCUGGAUAAUCUGUGCUGUUAAUUCUCAAACCAUUGAUACAGAAUUAAUGUCUUGGGGAGAAUUUGGUUAGUCUUAUCAAAGCCGAAUUCACAACAAAUUGGUAUCAGAGCCCUCUUUUCUGUAUCAAGGUUCAAGAAAUGACUAACAAGGUGGAUCUUGAGAAGUUCAAUGGUCAGAAUGAUUUCAAUAUGUGGAGGAUCAAGAUGGAAGCAUUGUUAAUCACACAAGGUCUGGGAGAUGCCAUUGAUCCAGUCAUUAAGAGUGAAAAUGCAGAAGCCUAUUCUUCAAGAACUCCAGAACAGAUGGCUAAGAUUGAAAAAAAGGCAAGAAGCACCAUCAUCCUCAGUCUUGGUGACUUAGUGAUAAGGGAAGUUGCCAAGAAAAAGACUGUUGCUAGGCUCUGGGCAAAACUGGAACAAUUGUAUAUGACAAAGUCCUUAGCAAACAGGCUAUACAUCAAGAAAAAGAUGUUCUCACUGAGGAUGAUUGAAGGAGCAUCACUUGAUGAACACAUAGAUGAGUUUAAUAAAGUUUGUGAUGAACUGGAAACAAUUGAUGAAGGACUGAGUGAUGAGAGCAAGGCUUUGCUGUUAAUCAGUUCUUCACCAAAAUCAUAUGAACAUUUUGUGGAUGCCUUGUUAUAUGGAAGGCAAUCACUCUCCUUGGAAGAGGUUAAAUCUACUCUUGGUACCAAGAAGUUAAAAGAAAAACAAGAUAACUCAGAGAGUGAAUCAAGUGAAGGGCUGAUGGCAAGGGGCAGAUCUGAAAAAAAGGAGUACAAAGGAAAAAAACAAGGGAGAUCAAAGUCAAAGCAGAAACAUUUGAAGUGUUUUCACUGCCACAAAGAAGGGCAUUUCAAGAGGGAUUGCCCUGAGAGAAAAACAAAGCAAAAGGAAUCAAAAGACAAAUCUGGAAAUACAGCAAUAGCCACAGAAGAAACCAGUUUUGAGAUAGCUGAAGUCCUCAUUGCCACAAAAGAAAAAAACUCAAGGUCAGUGGGUACUAGACUCUGGAUGUACUUUUCAUAUGAGUCCAAAUAGAAAUUACUUUACUACAUAUCAGUCCUGUGAUGGGGGUAUGGUGCUGAUGGGAAAUAAUUCAGUUUGUAAAGCAGUUGGGAUUGGGACUGUAAGCCUUAAGAUGUAUGAUGGCAUGGUUAGAGAACUAACUCAGUUUAGGCAUGUUCCUGAGCUUAAAAGGAACCUAAUAUCUAUUGGCAUGCUUGAUCAAACUGGAUGUGUCAAUAAGGCUGAAAAUGGGUCAUUGAAAGUUAUCAGAGGCUCAAUAGUCAUAAUGAAAAGUUCCAAGCAAAAUGGUUUGUAUGUGUUGAAUGGACAUACAACUGUUGGAGAGGCAAGUGUCACUGAGAAGAGUGAAGACAAAGCAAGACUAUGGCACUUGAGGUUGGGGCAUAUGAGUGAAAGGGGAUUGAAGGAGCUUCAAAAGAAUGGGGUGUUUGGAAGUGACAAGCUAAGUUCUUUGGGGUUCUGUGAAGACUGUAUCCUAGGGAAGGCUUCCAAUCUCAAGUUUGAAUCUGCAGUUCAUUCUACCAAAGAGAAGCUUGCAUAUAUACACUCUGAUAUGUGGGGGCCUGCACAGGUAAAUUCUCUUGGUGGCUUUAAGUAUUUCUUAUCCUUAAUAGAUGACUAUUCAAGGAUGGUUUGGGUGUAUGUACUCAAAACCAAAGAUGAAGCUUUGGAAAAGUUUUAGAGGUGGAAAAUUCUGGUAGAAACACAGACAAGUUUGAAAGUAAAAGCUCUAAGAACAGAUAAUGAAUUGGAAUUCUGCAACAAAGAGUUUGGAGACUUUUGUAAAAGACAUGAGAUUAUGAGGCACAAAACAGUCAUACACACACCUCAGCAAAAUGGUUUUGCUGAGAGAAUGAACAGAACCUUAAUGGACAAGGUGAGGUGUAUACUGCUAUACUCAAAGCUGCCUAAGUCACUCUGGGCAGAGGCCUUAAACACAGCAUGUUACUUGGUAAAUAUAAGUCCAUCUACAGCAAUAGAAUGCAAAACACCUAUCGAGCUAUGGUCUGGAAGGGUUGCAGAUUACUUUAAACUGAGAAUCUUUGGAUGUGUUGCUUAUGCAUAUGUCAAACAAGGCAAAUUGGAGCCAAGAGCUUUAAGGUGUAGAUUUCUAGGAUACCCUGAUGGAGUUAAAGGCUAUAGGCUAUGGUGCAUUGAUUUGAAGCCACCAAAAUGCAUUAUCAGCAGGGAUGUAACUUUCAAUGAGUCAGAAAUCUUGAACAAAUCCAAAACCACUUAAUCCAAAGAUCAUAUAUCAGAAACAAGACCUGGGAGUGUUCAGUUUGAGGUGGAGUCCUAUGAACAAGAUAGGACUGAAUCAGAAACUGAAGGAGAUUCAGGAAGGGUUACUGAUGGAUUUGAUGUUGUUCAGGAGUCAGAGCCAGCUGAGAAUGAAGAUAAUUCUUAUCAGUUGGUCAGGGAUAGAAAGAAGAGAGCUGUAAGACCACCUAAGAGGUAUACAAUAGCAGAUUUCAUAGCUUAUACAUUAACAGUUGCACAAGAGGUAAAUGAGGAAGAGCUAAGAACCUAUAAAGAAGCUAUAAACAGCAUGGAUAAGAUGAAAUGGAAGGAGGCUAUGGAUGAGGAAAUUGAAUCACUAAUGAAAAAUGGAACUUGGAAGCUGAUAGUUAGACUAGAAAAAAGGAAGACUGUUAGCUGCAAAUGGAUCUUCAAAGUUAAGGAAGGUAUAUCUGAUGCUGAACCUAGUAGGUUUAAAGCUAGGCUGGUAGCAAGAGGCUUCACACAAAGAGAGGGGAUUGAUUUCCAUGAAAUCUUCUCUCUAGUUGUGAAACAUGCCUCCAUCAGAGUCAUCUUAGCUUUAGUUGCCAUUCAAGACAUGUACCUGGAGCAUAUGGAUGUUAAAACAGCCUUCCUGCAUGGUGAAUUACAAGAAGAAAUUGUAAUGGAACAGCCUGGGGGGUAUGUGGUGUCUAGUAAGGAAAAUCAUGUGUGCUUACUAAAGAAAUAUUUAUAUGGAUUAAAGCAGUCUCCUAGGCAAUGGUACUUGAAGUUUGAUAGUUUUAUGACAAAACAUGCCUACAAGAAAUGCAAUUAUGAUUGUUGCGUGUACUUUAGGGACAUUGGUGAUGGAAAGAUGAUUUAUCUUAUGCUGUAUAUGGAUGACAUGCUUAUAGCAUGUCACAGCAUAGAUGAAAUCAGUCAUUUAAAGAAUCUCUUGAGCAGUGAAUUCGAUAUGAAAGAUCUUGGAGCUGUAAGGAAGAUCUUAGGUAUGGAAAUUAUCAGAGACAGGAGAAGGAAGCUUAUGUUUUUAACCCAACAGAGCUAUGUUAAGAAGGUGUUGCUUAGAUUUGGGAUGCAUGAAUCCAAGUCUGUUCAAACACCUUUGGCAAAUCACUUCAAGCUGUCUGCUGCACAUUGUCCACAAACUGAUGCAGAGCAAGGAAAAAUGGCAAGGAUACCUUACUCCAGUGCAGUUGGGAGCCUCAUGUAUGCCAUGGUUCUCACUAGACAUGAUAUCUCACAUGCUGUGAGUAUAGUGAGUAGAUUCAUGGCAAAUCCAGGUUAUGAGCAUUGGAGGGCAGUCCAGUGGAUAAUGAGGUACCUGAAAGGCACUAUGGAGUUUGGUCUGCUAUAUGGAGGGUUAAAACAGGAAGGGCACAAGCUGGUGGGGUAUGUUGACUCAGACUUCGCUGGAGAUCUUGAUAAAAGGAGGUCUCAGACAUGUUUUAUAUUCACUUUGGGAGGCUGCACUGUGAACUGGAAAGCUACUCUGCAAAGUGUGGUAGCUUUGUCCACAACUGAAGCCGAAUAUACAGCAGCUGCAGAAGCUUUUAAGGAAGUCAUCUGGUUAAAAGGAAUGGUCUCAGAGUUAGGAGCAAAACAAGAAACAGUUGAAGUAUACUGUGAUAGCCAGAGUGCAAUACAUUUGAGUAAAAACCAGACCCAUCAUGAAGGAACAAAACAUAUUGAUGUAAAGCUUCAUUUUGUAAGACUUGAAGUUUCAAAGGGAACUGUGAAGAUGCUCGAGGUUCACACUGAUCAAAAUCCAACCGAUAUGUUGACUAAAGCUGUGCCUUCUGCCAAGCUCAACUUCUGUUUGAGCUUAGCAGGAAUUUGCAGUUUCUGAUCAGCUGCAAAAGAAAGGGAAUAAAGUAUACAGGAGUAGCUAGAGUUCAGAGUUCACACUGAUUAAAAGGUGCAGGCUUUGUCAUCGUCUACACAUGAUUUGGGAAACACAGAGAGUAGAGAAAAAGAUAGAGAGAGAAAGGGGUUAACAAGUUCUUGUUCUCUGUAAAUCGAUUUCUAUUCUUGUAAAGUUUGUGAUCUCAAUUAGUGAAAGAUUGUUGCUUUGUUUCCAGUGGAUGUAGGCACCACUUCUUGGUGCUGAACCACUUAUGCUUGGUGUCAUAUUGUUUCUUUAAUGCUUUGAUUCUUGCGUGUGAUUGUUGCUGGAUAAUCUGUGCUGUUAAUUCUCAAACCAUUGAUACAGAAUUAAUGUCUUGGGGAGAAUUUGGUUAGUCUUAUCAAAGCCGAAUUCACAACAAAAACUGUAAUGGUAUAUCUUGAAUUAUUGGUAGAAUAGUUCUUUGGAGCAAUAAAAACAGAUAAGACAGAUGAGAAAAUUGUCAAUACCCCACCGCAAAAGCAAAAGAAAACAAGGAAAGGAGACAAAAGAGGAAGAAGAAAAAGAAAAAAGAACGAAGAAAAAAAUGGUGCCGUGCGGUAUAGGCAAGAAGAAAAAAUAAUAAAAAAUAAUAAAAUAAUAGUGCACAACAAUCAUUUGAUUGCUAUAAAUAAAAGGCGUUUCCCUCAUUUUAUUCAUCGAAUUCUUCAGUUCCUUUCAAGCGAUUUAAGAGUCUAGUGAUUUGAGAGUUUGGGUGUAGUAUGAUUUUGGGUAGUGAGCUAAAAUACUACAAUACUUGUAACUCAUUUUUAUUAGUAAAAUAUUUUCCUUCUGACUUCGCCCGUGGACGUAUGCUAAAAGCCGAAUCACGUAAUUUCUGGUGUCCCUAUGUGAUUAUGUGUCUCAUUAUUUCUUAAUUUCACUUUAGUUGCGUGUCUGCGACACCCCUCAAUUUAUUAACAAAAAAUGGCCAAAAUUAUAUAAGUGACCCAAAUUUUUUUGUUAUUUCCAAGAAAUCCCCAAUCUGAAUGGGCUAGACCAGAGGGAGGCAAGUUAGAAAUACAUUUCCUUCAUAGACAAUAACAGUGAUGAGUCGAUGACAUCAAGCCACGUCGGUAUCAAUAUUGAAUUAAAGGUGCAAUUAUUCAGCCAAUGAACCUUACACAUCAAGAUAAAAGUCAAGAAAAUGAAAAUUUAUCCCAAUUAAAACACUUUCUGGCUGCAUUUAGUUGUUUCCAUUAGAAGUUAAAAACAACGUUUCUUUCGUUUUGUGGGCAACUCAACUGAGUUAGCUGGCUUCUAGUGCUAGUAUGUGAAAAUAGAAGGCUAAUGAUUUAUUUAUUAUCUUUUGACAAAAUUAUUAAAGAUAUAAUAGAUUUUCUAUGAUACAAGUGAAAAAUCACAUCAACAUAGCUUUCAAUCUACAGCAGCUAGCGUUUACCAAACACUUUGUUGUAGCUUUUAAGCUAUAGCUGCCCAACCUCAAUCUCAAACGCACCCUUAAUAGGUUGAUUGAAUUUGUGAGAUAUGGAUUCCACAUAUCUCAUGACCUAGUAAUUAUACAAGUGGUUCGUGAUCAAGACACAACAUUUGCUUCCGGCCUAGUGACCCAGCAAUCGCUGCACUGGUCGCCACCUAUGGUGCCGACGAUAUUGCAUGGUCCAAUUGUGGCCUUGAAUGGAAAAAGUUGAGCAAAUUAUUUGUGGACACGAUGAUAAGUAACGCAAGCCUUGAUGCUAGUUAUGGUCAAAGAAAACAAGAGGUUAAGAAUACUAUCAGAGAUAUUCAUAACAACAAAAAGGAAAAAAAAAAGGCAUUUGCAAGCCCAUUGAUAUUGGUGAAUUGUCGAUUUCAACUUUGGCAUGUGUAAUCCAGAACCUGCGCGCUGUGGUAUGGCGCUGGCACGCUUGCAUUAACGAGGGGACAAGUCUUGGGGCUGAGCUAACAUUUAAGCUCGCAGAACUCAUGGUGCUAAUGGGAACACCAAAUAUUUUUUUGACAUAUUUUGGUGCUUUCAUGGUUUAAUUCAAGGUAUAGAAAGGAGUGUUGAGAAUGUCAAAUAAAACGGCAUUGAAUGGAAGUUGUCAAAGACACGAUCCGCACCGAACGGCAACGACACGGUUGCUAAAAAUCCUUCCAUAAUAUGCAUAUCUAAUUUUUUAAAAAGUGUAACCUCUGCAUUUAUAAAUAUACUCAAUGUAUAAUGUUUUACUUAAGAAAUGAAAAACUUGUUUGUUCAAGGAGAAUAAAGAAAAUUUUUCUAUGAUUUUUUUAUGGUUUGAACAAAGAAGGUUUUAAUGAGUAUUAUAGACCUCGAUUGAAUGUUCGAAUGUAUAAUAAAAGAGAAACUGUCACAUAAAUGACAAAGAUACUUGGAAAAAAAAAAAGGGCAGCAAUAGAGAAUUAGAUUCGACUGCACAAAUAACUAGUUAAUUCAUCAAUACAUCAUUUUCUUGCUAGAAAAUGACAAUUAUGACAGCAAGCCACGAUAGUGUCAAUAUUGAAAUUGAUUUGCAAUUAUUCAGCCAAUGUGCCUUACACGUCAAGAUAAAAGUCAAGAAAAUGAAAGUUAAUAUCAAUUAAAACACUUCCUGGGCCGCAUUUAGCUCCAGUUUUUGUGGUAGGAAAACAAAGUUUUGUUUUAAAUUCACAUGGUGUGCACUUCCUAUAUAAAUCUAGAGUUGUGUCCCACGUUGAACAAUAAAGGAAAGUCACCUAAAUAUACAUGUAGGAUAAGUUACUUUAUUUAGUAAGUUUGUAUUUUCUUCUUUCUUCUAGUUUACAUAUAAAUUUGAUUAGAUAACUUAACACAUAUUUUAAUACUUGAUCAGAAGCCCUACGUACAGGUGGAUCUAGAAACUUGAUUUCUAAGAGUAAUACUAUAAUAAAAAAAUAAUGAUUCAUAGAACCAAUAUCAAAAUUUGUUUACAAGAUUACCCCCACUCAAAGGUAAUUUUCAUAGAAAUUAAUAGGAAAUUUAAUUGUUAGUGGGGUCAAAUUGCCCCCACACUCUGAAUGUAGAUCCACGCCCGACCCUGAGUCAAGUAUAUUUUGCCACAUAUACUCUGAAUGUCGGCAGGAAAAAUCUUCCACUUUAGUUUAAAAUUUUCACUUAAAAUUUAUUUACGUUAAUAAAGUUGGUAAAGGAAAUGAGUUUAAUUAAAGAAUAUUAUAGGAGAAAUUCUAUUGUUUGGCUUUUAAUAAAUUAAUUAAUAGGUUUAAAAAGAUUAAUAUACAUCAAAAUAUUAUUAGUUGGUGGUGGUUCCACAUCGGACUAAGACGUGGCACCUUACUUGUGAGAUUAAGACAAUCAGGCUUAGACUAUUUAAAUAUGUUUGAAGCUUAGAUGGCACCGCUUCAAUUUGCAUUAAUGAAUGUCAUUCUUUACCCUAAUUACUACGUAAUUGAUAACAUGCAAUUGAAAUAACUAAUAUUAGCACUUGGCUAUAAAUGAACUAAAGGCCGUGCAAUUGAAUCUUUACUUGAUCACUUCAUUCCUUUAUUUUGCUAACACAGAUUUUGAGAUAUUAAAACGAAAUAAUAAUUGAAUCUGGCUUUGUGGGUCGAUGAUGCCAGCAACAACGAGACCACAAUUAUCACUUGUUUAUUUGCUGUAUUUGACGUUGUUUCAUAUUGGUAGUAAUAACUAAUAAGGUCGUUGUAGAGUUUUUAAUCUUUUUUUUUAUAUUAAUCACGAGGUAUCCUGGGGAGGGCCCCAACUGUGGGAGGCACCUUUAAGCUCGUACCACAACCCAGACUAGAAGUCCCCGCUCGAACCGGGAGGCACAGUUUUUAAUCUUUUUUAUAUUAAAGUUAAGUCAAUUUGUUAUAAAUAAAUAAAAAAUUGGUUGAGUUUAAUUAUAUUGCUAUGUACAUUAAAUAAUUAUAAUAUUCUCGAGGGAAAAAGACACCUAGAACCUCAAGGUUUGGGGAAAUGGUCACAAAAACUCCUAAGUUUUAAAAAAGGAACACUAAAAUCUUUUUUUACCCAUAAUACCCUUUGACUAUAGUAAUUAGAAAAUUGACUUUAAAGGUUUUUAAAUAAUACAAAUUUAAUAUAAAUCAUAUAAUCUAUCUAGUACACUAAUAAUAUUAAAUUAUUUUUUAUAUUUAAAAUAAUGUUAAAAAAUUUAAAUUAUUAUAUUUAUUUUAAUAAUAUAUUUAUAAAAUUAUAAAGAUUUUAAAUAAAUCUUUGGAUUGAAUAUAUUUUACAAUUAAAAGUCUUCCUAUUAAUAAUAUUAAAAUUAAAUUUUAAGUAAUAUAUAUUCAAAAUAUUUUUAAUUUAAUUUUAUUUAUUUUAAUAUUAUGUUUCUAUCUAUUAUUAAAAAUUACUUUAAUAUAAUAAAAUAGGUCUAAUAGAUUGAAAAAUAUGAAAAUAUUUUUAAAAUUUUAAAUUAUUUUGAAAUGUAUAUAUUAUUACAUUUAUUUCAAUGUCAUAUUUCCAUUUAUUAUAAAAUUUUGGGGUUAUUUUUUUGGGAAUUUAUAGAGUCAAAGAGCAUUAUGGUUAAAAAAGAGUCUUGGUGUCCCUUAUUGAAAACUUUAGAGUUUUUGUGACCAUUUUCCUAAAUCUUGGGGGUGUUGAAGUGGCACUUAUUGUAAGAUUGAUUUUAAAAUAUGUAAAAUUAAUUUUAUUACAUUACCAUAUGCUACAUCACCUGAAACUUAAUAAAUGGAACGUAGCAUUACUCCACGUUCACCGUUAUGACCUUAUGACAUUAGAAUUAAAAUCUUUCGUACGUUUAAAUUGUUUACUUCCAAAUUAAUCUUUCGUAAAUAUUUUGUACAGAUCUUAUCGGAGUUAGCGUGUUCAUUACAGUGUUUCUUUUCUUUUAUCCUUUCUUUUGAAACGUAUUUCCUGUGGACAAGGAAAGCAAAUAAUACCCUGCCACCAGGACCUCGCGGCUUGCCUGUAAUCGGAUACCUUCCAUUUCUCGGAAUUACUGACUUACACAAGACAUUCACGGAAUUAGCUGGUCUAUAUGGCCCGAUCUUCAAACUCUGGCUUGGCAACAAAUUGUGUGUAGUGGUUAGCUCGCCUUCAACUAGUUCUAUAAGAAUAUCCCUUUUAAGGGAUUCUCUCUCUGCAAAAUUUUUUUAUCUUCUGGUGCAUAAUAAAAACUUAUGCCACUUCAUUAACCACAGAUAUCUUUUGAGGAAACGAUGUUUCGUUUUCUUUUGUUUUUUCCUUCCUAAUCCUCGCAUAUCGUGUGAAGGCUAAUAUAUCCAAGAAUCUAAAUCUCUGUAAAUCUUUUUCUAUCCAAAUCUACAUAAUAAUUUAAUCCAUGCACAAUAUCUAUAAUUAUAUCGGCUGUCGGCUGAUUUCGUGGAGGGGGCGGCAGUUCAAAUUUUUUACGUGCAUGUUGGAUGGACGUCUCUAUUAAAGGAGAGCCACCACUUGCAUGGUAAUUUUUUUAAAUAAAUAUAUACAUUUCAAAAUAUUAUUUCAUUGUUGUAUAGUUAACAUGUCACCUUAGAUGUAUUUUAGAACUUCUCCUAUUAAAGAUAAUCUCAUGCAGUGAUACUUCUCGUGAUCUAAUCAUUAGUAGAAUCUAUAAUUUCGCUACUGUAAUAAAAUCUGUCCCUACCCUAUAUGAAUGUAGAUAUUUGACGCGAUUUGUAAUUGCUUCCGACAGGAAAACAGCAAUAGUUUAAUUGAAAUUUGUGGUAUGGAUUCCACGAAUCUUAUGACAGAAUACUGACCACUCCAACCCUAUCCACAUUUACACGAUUAAAACACAAGCUUAGAUGUGACAAUGCAUUUGUCACUUUUGUUCAAAUUCAUCCUGAAACACUAUACACUAAAUAAUCGAAUAUGGCUUCGUGGGUCGAUGAUGCUAGCAGCAACGAGACUGCAAUUAUCACUUGUUUUGUUGCUGUACUUGUCGUGGUCUAUUUCGCAUGGAAUGUAAACAAAUCAAGUAAAGCAAAUGCUAAAUUGCCACCAGGAUCUCGGGGCUUGCCAGUAGUCGGAUACCUCCCAUUUCUUGGAACUACUGACUUACACAAGACAUUCACGGAGUUAGCUGGAGUUUAUGGUCCGAUCUUCAAGAUUUGGCUUGGGAAUAAAUUGUGUGUAGUGGUGAGCUCGCCUACCCUAGUUAAACAAGUGGUCCGUGAUCAAGAUAUAACAUUCUCAAACCGCGACCCACCGAUCGCUGGAACUGUGACCACCUACGGUGGCAAUGAUAUUGCACUUUCCAAUUAUGGUCCCGAAUGGAAAAAGUUGCGAAAAUUAUUUGUGAGCAAGAUGAUGAGUAAUGCAACCCUUGAUGCUUGUUAUGCUCUAAGAAAACAAGAGGUUAAAAAUACUAUCAGGGAUUUGUACAACAACAAUAAGGAUAAUAUUGGCAGUGGCAAUGGCAAGCCCAUUGACGUUGGUGAAUUGUCGAUUUCAACUUUGGUACGUGUUAUGCAGAACAUGCUGUGGGGUCAAGCAUUGGAAACAAGAGAGAAAGAGAUUACUAAUCUCGGGGCUAAUCUUGCAGAACUCAUGGUGCUACUGGGAACACCAAAUAUUUCGGAUAUUUUUCCAGUGCUUUCAUUGCUUGACAUGCAAGGUAUAGAGAGAAGAGCUAAGAAGAUUUCUCUAUGGUUUGAAAACAUUAUCAAUUCUGGUGUUGAACAGUAUAGAAACAAGUUUUCUGUUGUUAAAGGUGAAGAAGCUGCAGCAGGAAAAAAUAUUGAACGAUCAAGAAAUAAGGACUUCUUGCAGUUACUGUUGGAGCUUCAGGAAAAUGAAGAUAGUGCUUCAUCUAUUAGCAUGAACCAACUAAAGGCCGUGCUCGUGGUAUGUUAAGCAACUAGACACAAAAAGUUGUAAAAGCACAGUGAUAUAUUUGCGCGAGGCCGCGAGUGAUGUUUUGCCUCGAGAACUCUCAAUUUUAUCUUACGGUAAAAAAUGUUUUUCAACUUUUUUUAAUUAGAAUUUUAUUGCAAUUUAUUUAACAGGACAUAAUUGUGGCCGGAACCGACACCACAACUACGAUGGUGGAAUGGACAAUGGCAGAGUUGAUGCAACAUCCACAAGUAAUGAAGAAAGUUCAAGAAGAAUUAGCUCAAGUUGUGGGCAUGGACAGUUGUGUUGAAGAAUAUCACUUGCCUAAAUUAAAUUAUUUAGAUGCUGUGGUGAAAGAAACAUUUCGUUUGCAUCCUGCGUUGCCCUUAUUGGUACCUCGCACGGCAAGCGAGAACAGCAAUAUUGGUGGCUAUACCAUUCCCAACGACACUAAUUUUAUGUUGAAUGUUUGGGCUAUUCACAGGGAUCCUCAACUUUGGGAUAAUCCCUUAGAUUUUCGACCUGAGAGGUUCUUGAAUGAUGAUAUCAUAAGCAAAUUCAAUUACUCGGGUAACAAUUUUCAGUACUUGCCAUUUGGUUCUGGUAGAAGGAUGUGCGCUGGCAUUCCUCUAGCUGAGAGGAUGUUGAUGCUUGUUCUGGCUUCGUUGUUGCACUUGUUUGAGUGGAAAUUGCCCCCGGGCACAAAGCUAGACUUAGCUGAAAAGUAUGGGAUUGUCAUGCGGAAAAAAGAGCCUCUGAUUGCUAUUCCAACACCAAGGCUACCAAAUUCAGAUCUCUACCAGUAAGAUCAAAAUGGUUGUGAUGAUAUUAUUUCCCAUUGUAUUGGAAUAUUUUUGUGUGAUUUGAAGUUCAAUCAUAAUAAAAUAUUUUAAUAAAAUGUCCUCGGUUGCUAAUUUUUCAAUAGUAUACUCUAUCAUCGUUUCUAACUGUCUUUUAGAGCCAUUUGGUCUAAUUUAUUUUUGAAUUAAAAUCCAUAAAUAUUUAAAUUUUUGAAUCAUAUUAAGAAUUAUCUGGAGUGUAUGGUCUGAUCUUCAAGUUCUGGCUUGUAAACAAAUUAGAGUUCUGAUAUUUGCCCCGGGUCAAACCCCGAAAUUAAAUAAAACGGCGUCGUUUUGUUUUUUUUUUUUUUUUUUUCUUUUUUACUUCUUCCAAACGUUGCCAUUUCACUUGUCAUUUGCAAGUGACUCCAUUGAUCCUUAGUUGAAACAGAGUUACACCGUAAAUCUCUUCCUCUUCGUUUCUUCGUUUCACCAGGGAACGAGACAGAUAAAAUCCAGCCAUUCUUCGACAUAACAAGAUAUCGAUUAGAAUCCAACGACAUAACUAUAAACCAUGACAUUGCGCUUGAUUUUGCGAAAUACCGAUUAAGAACCAGUAACUUUGAAUCCAAUGACCGUUAAGAGUUUGAAAUUGGUUUCAAAUGACUAAUGAGUUAUCAGAUUUCUUUGCGUCUACAUUUUCCUUGAAGGUUUCUCAGCAGCCAAACAAAUACAAAGCAAAUUGCAGAAGAAACACAUUUUGUUCCAAUGAAAAAUGUACGGAAACAUUUUAAAUAUGGAAAAUUACCUCAAAAUGAAGGCUCGCAAGAGAUUCGAGCAACAAAUUAGAUCAAAGGAACCGGCGCUGAGCAAGAAAGUGAGCUCAAAGAUUCCGAAACACAAACGUAAAUUCACAAAAAUGCAAAUCUAUGAUGAACGCCAAGAUCAAAAUUUUCGAAGAAAGGGAGCUGAAAAAAUAAAUGAAACGUCAAACUAGAUGACAAUGGAUUUGCUUCUUCAAAGGAGACAAUGAAAUUGUUACUAGAGACAGCUAGAGAAAUAGAGAGAGAGAGAGAGAGAGCUUGAAUUGGCUGUACCCCCACCAGAAAGUGGGUAGUGCCUUUUCCACUUGGACUUGAUAUGCGAAUCUGAAAAAAUCUGAACGAAGGACUGACUCAUCCCAGCUCGAAAGCAAACCAAGCUAGGACUGACUGAAAACGUUGCCGUUUGGAGAAGUUAAAAAAAAAAACUAAACAAAACGACGCCGUUUUGUUUAGUUUCGGGGUUUGACCCGGAAUUUGACCCGGGGCAAACAUCAUUUUCCAACAAAUUAUGCAUGGUCGUGUACACGCUUUCCCUAAUUAAGCAUGAGGUUCGUGAUCAAGGCACAACAUUCACUCCCUGCGACCCAACAAUCGCUACAUUGUUUGCCACCUAUAGUGCCAACGAUUUUGCACGGUCCAAUUAUGGUCCCCAAUCGAAAACGUUGCGCAAAUGUUUUCUGGGCAAGAUGAUAAGUAACGCAAGCCUUGAUGCUUGUUAUGGUCUAAGAAAACAAGAGGUUAAUAUAUAUAUAUAUAUAUAUAUAUAUAUAUAUAUAUAUAUAUAUAAAUUGGCAUUGUCAACUUUUGUAUGUUUUAUUCAGAACCCGCUGUGGGUUGACGCUAGCAUGCUUGCGUUAGGAGACGAGGGGACCAAUCUUGGGGCUGAGCUAAAAUAUAAGCUUGUAGAGAUCAUCUUGCUAAUGGUAAUGUUUUCCGAUGCUGGUUUAAUUCAUGGUAUAAAAAGGAGAACAAAAAAGAUUUUUCUAUGCUUUGAAAAUAUUAUAAUUUUUAUUUUAUAAUUUUUAAUAAAAUCUCUCAUUGAUAGCCAAACAAUUAAAAUUUUUGUAAAGCUUUUGUGGACUUUUGAUCGCGUAUGGUGCCAAUGUAUUGCGUGGUCCUAUUAUGGUUCCAAAUGGAGAAAGUUGCACAAGUUUUUUGAGUACCAGAAGAUCAGUAAUGUAAGCCUUGAUGGUUGUUAUGGUCUAAGAAAACAAGAGGCUAAAAAUUCUAUCUGGGAUUUUUAUAACAACAACAAAAUUGGCAAGCCCAUUGACAUUGGUGAAUUGUCAGUUUCAACCUUGGUAAGUGCGAUUCAGAACAUGCUGUGGGGUGAAACGCUUGAAAUAACAAAGAAAUGGAUUUACUAAUAUUGGGGCUGGGCUAAGAUUUAAGCUUGCAGAACUCACGGUGCUAGAGGGAACACCGAAUAUUUUGGAUAUCUUUCCAGUGCUUUCAUGGUUUAAUAUACAAGGUUUUCAGAGAAUAGCAAAGAAGAUUUCUCUAUGGUUUUAAAAUAUUAUCAAUUCUACUGCUGAACGCUAUAGAAACAACGUCUCUAUUGUCAAAAGUGAAGAAGCAGCAGCAGCAGGGAACAAUAUUGAAGGAAGGAAUAAGGACUUGGUGCAGUUACGCUUGGAGCUUCAAGGUAAAGAAGACAAUGCUUCAUCAAUUAGCAGGACGCAAUUUAAGAGCUUGCUCGUGGUAUGUUGCGCAACUAGCCACAGACAGUUACAGAAACUGAGUUUGGCAGAUUACGACCGUUUCUGGUGAUUACAUAAUUAUUUGUGGCUGUUUUUUUUUUUUAAUUGUAAUUUUCUUAACAGGAUAUAAUUUAGGGUGGAACCAACACCACAACUAUAAUGGUGGAAUGGACAAUGGCAUAAUUGAUACAGCAUCCACAAGUAAUAGAGAAUGUACAGGUAGAACUAAAUCGGGCCGUGGCCAUCGACAGCCAUGUUGAAGAAUUUCACCUAGCUAAGUUAAAAUAUUUAGAUGCUGUGGUGAAAGAAACAUUCUGCACUGUAAUAUAAUACAUGAAUCAUAUGUCCUCUAUUGUUUUUUUAUUUUUCUCUUUUUUUCAAUAGCUUAAUCUAUCAUUAAAAUCUUCUGAAAUUCUAAAUUAAUAUACAUUCAACCUAGAGUUCAAGCCAAAGUUUUAUUGAGCAUUAAAAAAAAAAAAAAUUCUACGACUCAAAAUUUUGUGGAGUAUAAAUUAAAAAUUAUGCGCCUACUAAGAGACAAAAAAUAAAUGAUACACAUUAACCAAUCAAAGGCGAACAAGAGAUUAUUAACAAUAACCUAAUAAUAAAAUUAUAAUGAAUAAAAAAGAAAUGGUACCUAGAAACACAUCACAGCCAUUUAAGCAAUCACUUACCCACAAAAUCCAAACAUAUAAACUAUGUGGGGGGGGGGGGGGGGGGGGGGGGUGUCAUGAUACCUUUGGGUUUCAUGAUAAUCAAAAUUGCAAUACCAUUAAAGACUCAAAAAUAAAAAAAAUCAUAGCCAAUAAAAGAGAAAAAAUAACCCACAAAAAAUCAUCAAGAAAAUAAAUUUGAGACUAAGAGAAGAUAUUAAUUAAACCCUGGGUUGCCUUGGAACCACGGCUUUGGCUUCCAUUUUUCAAUUCUUGGCGACAAGUCAUUUCUUGUUUGUUUACAAAGAUGACGGCUGAUUAAUGAAGCUCUAUUAACAAUGAAUAAAUAAAAAAACUGGCGCCUUGAAAAGACUAACGGUCAUAUUUUUCAACUCCGAAUUAGUGCCGUUUGAUGAGUCCUUGCCAAAACAAUCACUAGGCAAAUAACAAUCAUUUUUCAACCAGCAAAACUCAUUCAUUGUAUUUCACCUUAGUCAAGAUUUAAAAAUUGUUUCAAAAUAAACCUAGUGGUUAGAACCCAAGCGUCACAAUUGUGAGGUCAUGGGUUUGAGCCCCCACAACGUAUUGUGGGGGUUAAUUUUCUUCUUCAAUUUGAGUGAAAACAGUUCUCUCCCUUUCGAAAUGUGGGUGGAGUGGACGUCCCUCAAAUAUUAGAGAGGGUUCAAAUUUGGAUUGUACUAUAUAAGAUUUAUAAAUUAGUCCCAGUAAUUAUCUGAUUGUAAAUAUCAAUAUACUAAUCUAAUUAAAUAUGAGUUGUAAUAUGAGCGUUAGUCUCAUGUAAUUAAAAAAAAAAUGUUUCAAAAUAGGAUUCUUAAAAGGUUGGGGAAAUGGCCAUCAAUAUCCCCAACUUUCCAAAAAGAGACACCAAGACCCAUUUUGACCAUAAUACCCUUUACUUCUAUUAUCCCCAAAAAAUUGACUCUAAUGUUUUAUAAUAAAUAAAAAUAUAACAUUAAAAUAAAUGUAAUAGUAUAUACAUUUUAAAAUAGUUUCAAUAUCUAAAAACCAUUUUAAUAUUUUAAAUCCUAUUAUAUAUAUAUUAAAGUAAAUUUUAUAAUAAAUAGAAUCAUAAUAUUGAAAUAAAUGCAUUAAAAUUUAAAUUAUUUUUAAUAUUAUGUAAAAUAAUAAUUUUAUCAUUAUAAGUAUAUGAGAAUUUUUUUAAUUGUAGAAUGUAUUUAAUGCAAAUAUUUAUUUAAAAUCUCUACAAUAAAUAAAAAUAUACUAUUAAAACAAAUCUCUACAAUAUAUACAUACAUACAUAUACAUUGGCCUGGUAUUUUAUUUUUCAUUUUUUAAACUUAUUAAAUCCUCUAACUAUCAUUUGAUUAUUUUUUUCAAUGAUGAAGAGGCCAUUGCCGGAUAAAUUAUUAAAAUCAACUAGUUCUACAAGAAUGUCCCUUUUUAAAGGAAGAUGAUUCUCUCUCUCGAAAUUUUUUAUCUUGUGCUACAAACUAAAAACUUAUGCCAUUUCAUUAACCACAGAGAUCUUUGAGGAAAUGAUGCUUCGCCCCCCCCCCCCCCCCCCCCCCCCCCCCCCCCCCCCCGCGGCGCCAAAAAGUGUCCUUCCAUAUUUUGUGAAGGCUAAUACAUCGAUGAAUCUAGAUUUCUUUAAAUUUUUUGUUUUACUCAAUUCGAGAUAAUAAAUAGUUUAUCUUUAUUAAAUCUUUACUUUAACAAUGAUAGAUAUUCAAUCCAUGCAAAUAUCUAUCAUUGUAUGAGCUGAUUGCGUGGAGGGAGCGGUAAUUGAAAUCUAAUUGAAAACAGCAGAAGGCUGUUCUUGACAGAUCUCAAAUAUAUUACGGACACGUUGGGAGACAUCUCUAUCAUAGAUAUCCCCAUGCAGUGAUAUUUGUCGUGAUCUAAUUUUUAGUAAAUCUGUAAGAGAGAUUGUAACAUCUUUCAAGUUUUUUGGUUUGAUAUUCUAGACGAAAACGGUUUGUCGUUUCUUGAGCAAACGGCUAACCGUUUAAGUCCAGAGAGCAUGUUUGUUGUUCUGGAUAAAACGGCUCACCGUUGUUGCGAAAACGGCUAACCGUUUAACUCAAGAGAGCAUGUUUUAUGUUCUAGAGAAAACGGCUCACCGUUAUUGAGAAAACGGCUAACCGUUUAUUUACAGAGAGCAACGUAUUUGAUAUUCUGGAAUAAAAUGGCUCACCAUUUAUUGAGAAAACGGCUAACUGUUUAUUUCCAGAAAGGCGUCAAUUAGAAAAACGGUUAGCAAGAAUGAAAAUUUCAAUUGACAAUCGAUGCAAAUUCAAACCAAAAGAGUGUCUUCGAAAAAGUACCAUUUCUAAUGGUUGUAUUCUUUCAAAUAAACAUCUUCUUCAUUAAAGAAAUACACACAAUUAGAUUGAUAAUCAGAUUUUGACAGGUUUCUUAUAUGUUCUGGAAAUACAAUCUUAUUUGCUAGAGAUUGUAUUCAGGAUUUGUUAUAUCUUGGGGGUAAUUUGCCAUUAAAACUAUAUAGCAAACCAAGAUUGGUGAGGGCAAAUAAAACCUUAAAGGAAAGUAUGCAAACACGUCUCAAAUCCUAUGAAACUUUCUUUGUUCUUUGCCUCCAUAUUCUUAUUAUUCACUAACAAAAUCCCCAUGCAGUGAUAUUUGUCGUGAUCUAAUUAUUAGAAAAAUCUAUGAUUUCGCUACUGUAAUAAAAUUUGUCACUACUCUACAUUAAUCUAAAUGUCUGAUGAGAUUUGUAAUUGCUUCCGACGGGAAAACAGUUAAUAGGUUGAUUGAAUGUAUGUGGUAAAGAUUCCACGUAUCUCACGACAGAAUGCUGACCACUGGAACCCUAUCUACUUUUACGCGAUUAAUUCACGAGCUUAGGCACGACAAUUGCAAUACAAAUUAUCCCUUCAUCAUAUAUUUCGUUAAAAUUCAUUCUGAAGCACUAAAACUAAACAAUCGAAUAUGGCUUUGAGGGUCGAUGAUGCCAGCAGCAAUGAGAGUGCAAUUAUCACUUGUUUAGUUUCUGUGCUUGCCGUGGCUUAUUUAGCAUGGAAUGUGAAAAAAUCAAGGAAAGCAAAUGCUAAACUGCCACCAGGACCUCGCGGCUUGCCUGUAGUCGGAUACCUCCCAUUUCUCGGGACUACUGACUUGCACAAGAAAUUCACGGAAUUUAUUUUACUAUUAUAUUUAUAUUCAAAAUAAUUUUAAUUAGCUUUUAAAAUGAAUGAUUUUAGGAAAUUAUAAAUAAAGGUAACUAAGAAUUCUCUUAAUGUAAUAUAUUAUUAAUUAGUUUAAAAAUACAAAUUUAUUAAUUAGAGAAAUUAUUAGUGAAUUUAAAUUAAUGAUCUUAAUGAUUUGUUUGUACGAUUGCCCCCAAUCAAAGGUAAUUUUCCUAAAAAUUAUUAGGAAAUUAGAGAAAUUUAAUUUUUUUAGUGGGUUCAAUUGCCCACACACCCCGACUGAAGCAUUUUUUACAAUAUGUACUCCGUUUGUCGGCAGGAAAAUAAAGGUCUUGACACAUGAUCACUUCACUCCUUUAUUUACUUUGCUAACGCAGAUUUUGAGGUAUUAAAACAAAUAAUAAUUGAAUAUGACUUUGUGGGUCGACGACGCCAGCAACGAGGAGACCGCCAAUUAUCACAUUUUAAGUUUGCUGUAAUUGCCGUUGUUUUAUAUUAGUAGAAUAUUAGUGAUAAGAUAAUUGUAGAGUUUUCAUUUUUUUAAUAUUAAAAUCAAGUCAAUUUAUUAUAAUAAAUUUAGUUGAAUUUAAUCGUAUUACCACAUAAAUUGAAUAAUAAUAGAAUUCUCGACAAUAUUUCAAUAUUUUAAUCUCAAGCAUUGGAGUGGCAUUUAUUUGUUAUACGGUCGAUUUUAGAAUUUAUAAAAUUAUUCGUUGCUGAAUUGCACCAUAUGCUGCAUAACCUGAAACUUAAUAAACGGAACGUAGCGUUGGCACCGUUACUCAACAUUCACUGUUACGACUUUGUGACAUUAGAAUUAAAAUCUUUUCCACAUUUAAUUUGUUUACUUCCAACUUAAUAUUUAACAAAAUGUAUGUUAGCAUUGUAUGCCAUAUCAUCUGUAAUUUUGUCAGGAUCGAUCAUUCUAAUUUUUAAGCAGAACUUUUUGUCAAUGGACAAACACCUCAUACAGCUUGUCAGAGGCAUUAGUAUGAUGUAAAAUUGUAAUGGUAUAUCUUGAAUUAUUUUAGAAUAGUGAAUAACUAUUUGGAGCAAUAAAAACAAAUAAGACAGAUGAGAAAAUGGCUAAAAUUAUAUAAGUGACCCAAAAUUUUUUGCUAUUUCCAAGAAAUCCCCAAUCUGAAUGGACCAGAGGGAGGCAAGUUAGAAAUACAUUUCCUUCAUAGACAAUAACAACGAUGAGUGGAUGACAUCAAACCACGUUGGUAUCAAUAUUGAAAUAAAGGUGCAAUUAUUCAGCCAAUGAGCCUUAGUACACAUCAAGAUAUAUAAAAGUCAAGAAAAUGAAAAUUUAUCCCAAUUAAAACUCUUUCUGGCUGCAUUUAGCUGUUUCUGUUUAGGGAUGGCAAUUUAAUCCGGACCCAGCCCGACCCGGAUGAAUCCAGAAAAUUCGGGGUGGAUUCAACCCGUACCGGAGUGAAUAAAAUCUGAUAUUCAAAUUCAAUAUUUUCAACCCGGACGUUUCCGAGUCCGGAUCCGGAUUUGGGUAAACCCGCAUAUCCGGAACCCGGAUCCGGAUAACUAUUUUAAUAUUAAUUUUUAAAUCAUUUUAAAAUAAAAAAAAAUUAGAAAAAAUCAGCCCUAAUGCCCUUCCACAGCCACGGCAGCCAAACCAAACCCAGACAUUUCCUCUCUCUCUCUUUAGCCCUUCUUUUCAACAAAUCAUCAUCGUUGCUCAUCAUCGUUUCGUCGUGUUCAUCUUCAUCUUCAUCAUCAGCUGCCGUUUGUCCAGCUAUGUCACUAGUUUUGGCCGCCGUUUCCGUUUGUGCACCUUCGCAAAUCGGGAUCUCGAUUUGGCCGCCAACACUUCUACCCCCUGGUGUUUUGCUUUGUCCUCGACAACUUCUUUGUUGAUAAAUUGACGGGCACUUAUGAAUGCAUUUGUCUCUGUUUCUUCAUUUACACCUUCCCAGUUGUUUGUUCAUUUGCUUUUUGGAAGGAAAAAAAAAAAAAAUCAGCCACCAUUUAUCCUUCCCCUUUUCUUGACCUAACCCCACAAAGCCCAAUUUGUCAUCAUCAUUCAUUGGCAAAUUUGUUAUCAUCAUGGUUGAGACAUCAUGAUUAUCUUUGAUAAUUGAAUUUGUGUAAUAUGUUACCUUGGAUUUUAUUUCUAAGUAUUUGAUUUUGAAUUAUUUUCCAUUAUUGGUGUUAAUAGAUAGAAGAUUAGAAAGGAAUUCUUCACUGAAUAAAGAGAUGGGAAAUUGCAUCUUUUAGCAAUCAUCCGGGUUAUAAACCCGGAAUCCGGAAACCAGGAUUUUUCCGGGUUUAACCCAGUCCGGACCCGAAUGAAAAAUAUCCGGGUUUACAUCCGGGUCUGGUAUUAAAAUUUAUCGUCCGGAUCCGGAACAGGGAAGACAAAACCCGGACCCGAACCCACAUUUUGCCAUCCCUAUUUCCAUUUGAAGUUAACAACAACGUUUCUUUCGUUUUGUGGGCGACUUGACUGAGCCAGCUGGAUUCUAGUGCUAGUAUGUGAAAAUAGAAGGCUAAUGAUUUCACGUUCACUAGCCCACCUCCCCUCCUCUCGUUUCCUCUGAAUCAAUUUUCACGUGUGGUACCGAUUGAAAAUAUCUCUGACAUUUCGUGGACAUCUCUAUUGAAAAUAUCUCAGACAUUUCACUCAGGCAAACUUAUUAAUAUAAAAAAUCUAUGAUUUUUUCGUCUUAUACUGUAGAAAAAUUUGUCUAUACAUUAAUCUAGAUGUUUGAGGUGGUUUAUACAUCUGUGGUAUAGAUUUAUAGGUUGAUUGAUACGUCUGUGGUAUAGAUUUUAUGUAUUUCAUUAUCAAAUGCUGGCCUUUGGGACCCUAUCUACAUCUAUUUAUAAAACUAACGGGUGCCAGUUAUGCCAUUACAAAUUAUCCCCUCUUCAUACAUUUCCUUAAAAUUCUUCUGAAACACCAAAACUAAAUAAUCGAAUAUGGCUUUGCGGGUCGAUGAUGCCAGCAACAAUGAGGCUGCAAUUAUCACUUGUUUAGUUUCUAUGCUUGCCGUGGUUUAUUUCGUAUGGAAUGUGAACAAAUCAAGGAAAGCAAAUGCUAAACUGCCACCAGGACCUCGCGGUUUGCCUGUAGUCGGAUACCUCCCAUUUCUCGGAACUACUGACUUGCACAAGAAAUUCACGGAAUUAUCCGGAGUUUAUGGUCCGAUCUUCAAGCUCUGGCUCGGAAAUAAAUUAAGUGUCGUGGUGAGCUCACCUUCCCUAGUUAAACAAGUGGUUCGUGAUCAAGAUACAACAUUCGCAGACCGUGACCCGCCGAUCUCAGGACUAGUGACCUCCUUUGGUGGCAAUGAUAUUACAUGGUCCAAUUACGGUCCCGAAUGGAGAAAGUUGCGCAAAUUUUUUGUGGGCAAGAUGAUGAGUAACGCAAGCCUUGAUGCUUGUUAUGCUUUAAGAAAACAUGAGGUUAAAAAUACUAUCAGGGAUUUGUAUAACAACGGCAACAAAAUUGGUAAGCCCAUUGACAUUGGUGAAUUGUCGAUUUCAACAUUGGUAUGUGCUAUGCAGAACAUGCUGUGGGGUGAAGCGCUUGAAUUAAAAGAGAAAGGGACAACUAAUCUUGGGGUUGAGCUAAAAUUUAAGUUUGCAGAACUCAUGGUGCUACUGGGAACACCGAAUAUUUCGGAUAUCUUUCCAAUGCUUUCUUGGCUCGACAUACAAGGUAUAGAGAGGAGAGCAAAGAAGAUUUCACUCUGGUUUGAAAAAAUUAUAAAUUCUACUGUUGAAAAGUAUAGAAGCAAGGACUUUAAUGUUGAAGGUAAAGAAAGAGCAGGGGAAAAUUUUGAAGGAUCAAGGAACAAGAACUUCUUGCAGUUACUAUUGGAGCUUCAAGAAAAUGAAGACGGUUCUUCCUCAAUUAGCAUGAACCAAUUUAAGGCCGUACUCGUGGUAUGUUAAGAAACUAGCCGCAAACAGUUAUACAAGCACAGCUGUAUAUUUUGCAUGAGUGAUAUUUUCAACCUUUUUUUUUUAUAAUUAGAAUUUUAUUGUAACCUUUUGGACAGGAUAUAAUUACGGCUGGAACCGACACCACAACUACGAUGGUGGAAUGGACAAUGGCAGAGUUGAUGCAGCAUCCACAAAUAAUGAAGAAAGUUCAGGAAGAAUUAGCUCAAGUUGUGGGCAUGGACAGUUGUGUUGAAGAAUUUCAUUUGCCUAAAUUGAAAUAUUUAGAUGCUGUGGUGAAAGAAUCGUCUCGUCUGCAUCCUGCAGUGCCUUUAUUACUACCACGCAGAGCAAGCGAGAGUGGCAGCAUUGGUGGCUAUAACAUUCCCAAAGAUACAACUAUUAUGUUGAAUGUUUGGGCAAUCCACAGGGACCCUAAACUUUGGGAUAAUCCCUUAGAAUUUCGACCCGAGAGGUUUCUAGAUGAUGGUAUCGCGAGUAAGUUCGAUUACUCAGGUAACAAUUUUCAGUACUUGCCAUUUGGUUCUGGUAGAAGGAUGUGUGCUGGGAUUCCUCUAGCUGAGAGGAUGCUGAUGUUUGUUUUGGCUUCGUUAUUGCACUCAUUUGAGUGGGAAUUGCCAGCUGGCACAAAGCUAAACUUAUCUGAAAAAUUUGGGAUUGUCAUUAAGAAAAAAGAGCCUUUAGUUGCUAUUCCAACACCAAGACUAUCCAAUUCAGAGCUCUACCAUUAAGACAGAAUGGUUGUGAUGAUUUUGUUAAUUUCCGAAGAUUUGUAUGUUAUGUCAAGUUCAAUCGUAAUAAAAUAUUUCAAAUAAGAGUCCUCCGUUGCUUUUUUUUUUUUUUUCAACCGCAUAAUCUGUCGUCAUGCUUGUAUUUGGGGCUACUUUGGAAUAAUUAUGUUUGAAUUACAAUAUAUAAAUAUUACAUUUUAAAAUUUUAUGAGAUUCUAAAUUUAUACACGUUCAAUAACCCACUUCAUAUAUGUUUAACACAAUUUAUAUCAUACAUUGUAUACCCAUUUGUCAUAAAUUACGCUAUUUUAUAUCUCUAAAUAAUAUUACAUAUUGAUAUUAUAAAAUGUUGUUAACUCACGUGUGUAUAUAUAUAUAGCAAGUCACGUGCAUAUAUUAUUGGUUGUUAUAUGUUUGCUAGUUUGAUAGGAUUUCCUUUCCUUGUGAACUAGGGUAAUUCUUAUGUACAUAUAAAUAUUGAUCAAUAAGAGUGCAGAUGAUGACUGCAGUUUUGCAUCGUAGAAAUUCUUCGUAAAAUAUAUAUGUUUAUCAAAAGGCUAUACCAUUCAAUAUAUAUUGGAAAGAGAACAAAGAAGAUCUUCUUAUGGUUUGAAAAUAUUAUGAAUUCUGCUGUUGAACAGUAUGGAAACAAGGUCUGUUGUUAAAGGUGAAGAAGUCACAGGGAACAAUAUUGAAGGAAGAAAUUUCACGUUUAGUUGCUGAAUUUGCCGCUGUAUUCUAUCGGUAGUAAAAAGAUUAGAGUUUUUAUUUUUCUCUAUUAAUGUUAAGUCAAUUUUCUAUAACAAAUUCGGUUGAGUUUAAUUGUGUUACAAUAUAAAUUGAAUGAUAGUAGAAUUUUCAACGAAUAAUUCAAUAUUUCUAUCUCGAUUGUUGAAGUGCCAUUUAUUUGUUAUACGAUCGAUUUUAAAAUUUAUAAAAUUAUUUGUUACUAAAUUGCAUCAUAUGCUAAAUCACCUGAAACCUAAUUUCAUAACUAACCCUUUAUUUUUAGUUCUCAAGAAAUCUUGUAAGAACAAAAUUCUUUUGUAACAAAACGUUUACAACAAAUUAAUUUGUAACUCAUUCCUGUGCGAGAAUCACUCUCAAUUUCCUUCAAUUGCUGUUUAACAAUCAUCUGCUUAUCAAAAUUCAAGCAUAAUCUUUUUUUUUAAUUUCUUCAUCAUUCUUUUGAAAAAAAAAAUCAGGAUAUGCUGUUAAAUUUUGAAAUAAAUUAUCUCAAAAUAAUUACUAACCAGAAAAAACAAAGGGGUUUAACUAGGUUAUGCAUACCUUUGAAAAUUAUAUGUUGAUCGAUAAGAAUGAUGAUCACGAUUGACGAGUUUAAUUAAAAUAUAUAAGAUUUUAAAAUUAAUCAGGGUUAAAUUGUGAAUUUUAGAAAGAGAGGUUUUGUGAGAAUGUUGAAAGGGUGUUAAUAGUUCCACUCUUUUUAAAAACAACCAUAGUCAUCAUUUUUCCAUGGUUGUUUUUAAAAAGAGUAUUUCUUCUUCCCAUCUCCAUCUUAUUUAGAAAUUUCCCAGAGCCUUUGUUUCCCACCUUUCAUUUUUCUUCUUUCUAAUUUAAUAAUCCACCCUUCUUGUAUUCAAACUAAAAAAUUAAAAUCUGAAAAUUUAAAACCCAAUAUUAUAGUAUUAUAAAAAUAAUUACUCACAUUUUAUCAAACACCUCCAUUCUUCCAAGGCCUUGUUUUAGUAGUAGGCUUUUAUUAUCUCAAUAAAAUUGAAAAAAAAAAUCUCAAUAAUAUUGGAAAAAAACCCUACCCAUAUUUGUAACUUUAAUUUAUUAUUCUCCAUAGACCUACUUUUUAGUUUUGAAUUUUGUUGGAGCCAUAUAUAAACAGAAUAUGUUGAAAUCAGCACCCAAAAAAAAAAAAACUAAUUAUAUAAUUUAUGUUCCCAAGGACAUGGCUGAGUGAUUUUCAAGAAGUUUUGUUUGGCUGGCCACUUAGGUUUAAAUCUUGGUGGAGAUUAAGGGUUAAGAAAUAAAUUUAGACUUUGCACACCCCUUUAACUUUUAAAAAGAAAUGAAAAAAUUAAUUAAUUAAUCUUUAUUUUAUUUAUUAAAUGUCAUAAUCCUAUGCGUAUUUUAUUUGUUAUCUUUCUAUUUAAAAGACGAGGGCAGAUAAAACUGAAAUAAAUUUUUAGCCCUAUCUCCAUAUUUCAAGUUCCAUAGUUAGGUGACCAGCUAAAAAAAAUUAAUUGAAAGCUACUCCAUCAAAUUAAAAAAAUUUAUUUAUUUAAUUUGUGGAGAUGUAGAAAAUCAAACCCCAUACCUUUUCGCAUACACUGAACAUAUUUUAAUACAUGACUAUCAUCCUUUAUCCUAAAUACUACUAUAACUAAUAACAUACAAUUGAAAUAAUUAAUGUUAACACUUGGCUAUAAAUAAAGGUUUUGUGCUUGAAUCUUCACGCAUGACCUUCAUUCCUUUAUUGACUUUGCUAACACAGAUUUUGAGGCAUUAAAACUAAAUAAUAAUUGACUUUGUGGGCCGAGGAUGCCAGCAACAAGGAGACCACAAUUAUCACUUAAGUUACUCUAAUUGCCGUUGUCUUAUAUUCAUAGAAUAUUAGUAAUAAGAUUAUUGCAGAAUUUUUUUAAUAUUAAAAUUAAGUCAAUUUGUUAUAACAAAUUUAGUUGAGUUUAAUCGUGUUACUACAUAAAUUGAAUAAUAAUAGAAUUCUCGACAAAUAUUUCAAUAUUUUUAUCCCAAGCGUUGGAGUGGCAUUUAUUUGUUAUACGAUCGAUUUUAGAACUUAUAAAAUUAUUCGUUACUGAAUUGCACCAUAUGCUGCAUGACCUGAAACUUAAUAAACGGAAUGUAGCGUUGGCACCGUUACUCAACAUACUGUUACGACUUUGUGACAUUAGAAUUAAAAUCUUUUGCACAUUUAAUUUGUUUACUUCAAAAUUAAUAUUUAACAAAAUAUUUUUUUCACAUUAUCAAUGGACAAAACUCCAACGAAAAUAACUACACAAGAAAAAUGUAUGCUAGUAUUGUGUGCCAUAUCAUCUGUAAUUUUGUCAGGAUCGAACACUCUAAUUUUUAAGCAGAACUUUUUAUCAAUGGACAAACACCUCACACAGCUUGUCAGAGGCAUUAUUAUGAUAGAAAACUGUAAUGGUAUAUCUUGAAUUAUUGGUAGAAUAGUUCUUUGGAGCAAUAAAAAUAGAUAAGACAGAUGAGAAAAUUGUCAAUACCCCACCGCAAAAGCAAAAGAAAAAAAGGAAAGGAGACAAAAGAGGAAGAAGAAAAAAAGGAAAGGAGACAAAAGAGGAAGAAGAAAAAGAAAAAAGAACGAAGAAAAAAAUGGUGCCGCGCUGUAUUGGGAAGAAGAAAAAAAUUAAUAAAAUAAUAAUAAAUAAUAAAUAAUAAAUAAUAAAAUAAUAGUGCACAACAAUCAUUUGAUUGCUAUAAAUAAAGGGGCAUUUUCCUCAUUUUAUUCAUCGAAUUCUUCAGUUCCUUUCAAGCGAUUUAAGAGUCUAGUGAUUUGAGAGUUUGGGAGUAUUGUGAUUUUGAGUACUAAGUUAAAAUACUAUAAUACUUGUAACUCAUUUUCACUAGUAAAAUAUUUUUCUUCUGUCUUCGCCCGUAGACGUAGGCUAAAAGCUGAACCACGUAAUUUCUGGUGUCCCUAUGUGAUUAUGUGUCUCAUUAUUUCUCAAUUUUACUUUAGUUACGUGUCUGCUACACCCUUCAAUUUACUAACAAAAAUGGCCAAAAUUAUAUAAGUGACCCAAAUUUUUUUGCUAUUUCCAAGAAAUCCCCAAUCGGAAUAGACCAAACUAGAGGGAGGCAAGUUAGAAAUACGUUUCCUUCAUAAACAAUAACAGCGAUGAGUCGAUGACAUCGAGCCACGUCGGUAUCAAUAUUGAAUUAAAGGUGCAAUUAUUCAGCCAAUGAGCCUUACACAUCAAGAUAAAAGUCAAGAAAAUGAAAAAUUUAUCCUAAUUAAAACACUUUCUGGCUGCAUUUAGCUGUUUCUAUUUGAAGUUAAAAACAACAUUUCUUUCGUUUUGUGGGCAACUCGACUGAGUUCGCUGGCUUCUAGUGCUAGUAUGUGAAAAUAGAAGGCUAAUGAUUUAUUUGUUAUCUUUUGACAAAAAAUGUUAAAGAUAUAAUAGAUUUUCCAUGAUACAAAUGAAAAAUUAUAUCAACAUAACUUCCAAGCUACAGCAGCUAGUGUUUACCAAACACUUUGCUGUAGCUUUUAAGCUACAGCUGCCCAACCUCAAUAGGUUGAUUGAAUUUGUGGGAUAUAGAUUCCACAUAUCUCAUGACCUAUUAAUUAUACAAGUGGUUCUUGAUCAAGAACAACAUUUGCUUCCGACCCAGUAACCCAGCAACUGCUGCACUGGUCGCCACCUAUGGUGCCGACGAUAUUGCAUGGUCCAAUUAUGGCCUUGAAUGGAAAAAGUUGAGCAAAUUAUUUGUGGGCACGAUGAUAAGUAACGCAAGCCUUGAUGCUAGUUAUGGUCGAAGAAAACAAGAGGUUAAGAAUACUAUCAGAGAUAUGCAUAACAACAAAAAGGAAAAAAAAAAAAAAAGGCAUUGGCAAGUCAAUUGAUAUUGCUGAAUUGUCGAUUUCAACUUUGGCAUGUGUAAUUCAGACAUUGCGCGUUGUGGUAUGGCGCUGGCACGCUUGCAUUGCCGAGAGGACAAAUCUUGGGGCUGGGCUAAAAUUUAGGCUUGUAGAACUCAUGGUGCUAAUGGGAACGCCAAAUUUUUUUAACAUAUUUCGGUGCUUUCAUGGUUUAAUUCAAGGUAUAGAAAGGAGUGUUGAGAAUGUCAAAUAAAACGACAUUGAAUGGAAGUUGUCAAAGACAUGAUCCGCACUGAACGGCAAUGACACGGUUGGUAAAGAUUUUUUCAUAAUAUGCGUAUCUAAUUUUUGAAAAAUUGUAACCUCUGCUUCUAUAAAUAUGCUCAAUGUAUAAUGUUUUACUUAAGAAAUGAAAAACUUAAUUCUUUAUGGUAUCAGAGCGAGGCUCGUUGCUCUGUUUGUAACAAAAACAAAGAAAACUAAAUUCUUCCCACAACUAUUUUUCCACCUUUUUUUCUUCCUUAAAAGCAUUCCUAGCAUUACAGAAACCCAUGCCAAUAAAAGAACAAGCCACACAUAUGUAAAAACUUUAGUUUACAAAUCUAUCAACAUCCCCAUAAAUUUUCCCAAAAAGUGAUCUUCAAAAACCAAAAAUACCAUCAAUUUUCGCAUCUUCUAGUAAACAAACUAUAAAAGUUUCGCACUCAAACAGAGCCACACGCGCCUCCACGCGCUUCCCGGAAUCACGGCCAACCACCACGCGCCUCUGUCACCACCAACUCACCCUCAUGCGCUCCAGAUGUUGCAGAAGACGCAAAACGACGUGUCGUUUUCUUCUCUAAAAGUGCAGCAACGUGGAAAUGACUUUUUGUUUUUGCCUUAAAUUGUUUUUCCUCGUUUGAAGCUAUACAACAUUUUUCUUUCUAAACCUGUUUUUUACAAUAAAAAAAGAAAAAAAUGGAGAAAACUCCAACUGAAUCUACUCAUGUUGUCAUUCAAUCUGUUCAACCUGAUGGAGUAUUUAAUGCCGAAAUUAUCCUUACUAAGACAAACUACGAUAUUUGAUCUCAAAUAAUGGAGAUGCAUCUCGCAGAAAGAAAAAAACUCCCAUAUAUUCGUAGCAGCAUAAAUCCAUCUGACAAAUUUUCAAAGAAAUAUGAGAAAUGGUAUAGUGAGAACCAAAAAGUAAAAAGAUGGUUACUCAUAACCAUGUGUCCUGAGAUCAUGAAGCGAUAGUUACAAAUUCCUACAGCCUACGAAAUUUAGAAUGCAUUAUCAAAAGCCUUUUAUAAUGGAAGCGAUGAAAUACAAGUUUUCACUCUAAAUCAGAAGGCGUUCUCUACGAAGCAAAAUGGACAACCACUCUCUAAAUUCUACGGAGAAUUGAUCAAAAUGUUUCAAGAACUUAAUCACCGAGAUAAAGUGGUCAUGAAGGAUCCAGAAGAUGUUAUAAUAUAUAGGAAGUUUGUUGGAAGAUUGAGAGUGCACAUUUUUCUUGCUGGACUAGAUGAAGAAUUUGACCAAGUUUGUGGAGAAAUUCUACGAAAAGAUACUAUCCUAGACUUAAAAGAAUGUUAUUCUCUAAUCCGAAAAGAAGAUGUACGGCAAAGCAAACUAACAAGAAGGUGGACGACUCAGAAACGUCUGCUAUGAUACCACAAGAGAACAAUGUUUUGAAAUUGUUCGAUAUCCUGACUGGUGGGAUACUCGAAGUAAUAACACAAAGCAGAGAUAAAAAACUGCAGUAGCUGAAUCCACAUCCACUACAGAUCUUAGAAAAGAAUCUUCAGCGCAAAUUGCAACCUCUGUCAAUUCAGGUAAGGUCAUUAAAACUCUUACAUUUGUUAUUAAUAGUAUAUGGAUAAUUGAUUAUGGUGCAACUGAUCAUAUGACUUUUGAUUCUUGACAAGUUUCUUAAUUGAAACCAUCUUCACAUAAACAUGUUUCUACUGUAAAUAGAACCACAACCUCAGUUAUUGGGGAAGGAUCUUUACAACUCACAAUUAAAUCAAAUUUAGACUUUGUGUUAAUUGUUCCAUCUUUAAAUUAUAAUCUUUUAUAUGUGUCUCAAAUAACCUCUUACUUAUCAUGUGUUGUAAUGUUUUGGCCCGAUCAUUGCAUGUUUAAGGACAUCCAAAUGAAGGAAACGAUUGGUUAUGAUAUUAAAUAAGGCAACUUGUAUUACCUGGAGAUGACAUCAACAAACACUGAAAAGCUAAGCCCCGCAUUAGUAGCAGACAAUUCCAUGAAAAAAAAGGAAAUAAGAAAUUUGGUUAUGGCAUAGACGAUUAGGGCAUGUGUCAUUUGAUUUCUUAAAAAAAUUGUUUCCUAGUUUGUUUCUGAAAUUUGAUAUUUGUAACUUUAAAUAUGAUGUUUGUGAACUUUCAAAUAGCCAUCGAACUACUUUUCCAUUGUCCUUAAAUAAGAAUCCAAUUCCUUUAAUGGUAGUACAUUCUGAUGUAUAGAGACCAUCUAAAGUUUCUACCAUUGGAAGAGCUCGUUGGUUUGUUACAUUUAUUGAUGAUUGUAGCAGAAUGACAUGGAUUUUUUUAUGAAAUUAAAAUCAUAUGAUGGUGACAACUCUAUUUCAGACACAAAUUUGAGUUCUACAUACUGAUAAUGGAGGCGAGUAUAUGAGCACAACAAUUCAACAGUUUUUGAAAUCACAAUGAACUCACCACCAAACCACUUGUGUGGGGACACUCCAACAAAAUGGCGUUGCUAAACAAAAAAAUAGACAUUUACUAGAAGUUGUUCAAGCAUCACUAAUUUAGGCCCGCAUGCCACUAUUUUAUUGGGGAGAAGCAUUGGCAUCCGUAGCAUACUUGAUCAAUCGGACACCUUCAAUCUUCCUUGGAUUCCAAACUUAUUUUCUAGUUCUAAAUGAAGAAUUAUGUCAUCAAAUGUGUCGAAUUUACCCCCACAUAUGUUUGGUUGUGUUGCCUUCGUUCAUUUGCCAUGACAAGAUAAAUUAUCUCCUCGAGCACUACGUUGUGUGUUUGUAGGGUAUGCCUUACAUCAAAAGGGGUACCGAUGCUAUCAUCCUCUAUUAAGAAAAAAUAUACAUCACCAUGGACAUAAUCUUUCAUGAAGAUAUCAUGUAGUACCCAUCGGAGCUUGAAUUUCAGAGGGAGUAUAAUGAAGAGGAAAUUCAUACUCUUACAUAUCUUUCACCUGAAGAAGAUCAAUCCUCCAUUGAGGUAGUAAACGUUCAAGAUACUGGAAAAGAAAACGACAAUGAUUCUCAGGCUGAGACAAGUGAAGACACAUUUAGGGAGCAAAAUAACUCAGACAUAACCACAAUCGAGAACGAGUCCAUGAAGAGCCACAUGAAGAAAUAUCUAACCAAUCAUCUGCAGAGGAUGAUCCUACCACAAAUCCCAGUCUAAUCAGAAGAAUACUUCCCCAGCAUCAAAAUAGAGGUAUCUCUAAACCCACAUAUAAGACUGACCUCUCUAGUAGAGUCAAAUACCCUAUGAGUCAUUUUGUAUCUAACCAUGGCUUAUCAAAAUCAAAUCAGUCAUUUGUGAAUCAAUUAUCUACUGUGUCUAUUCCUAACAGUGUGCAAUAAGCCUUAAAAUAUCGAAAGUGGAAAGGGCUAUGAAUGACGAAAUGAGAUCUCUUUAAAAAAAAUCAAACAUGGGAACUAAUUGAUCUUCCACCAGGAAAGAAACCAGUGGGUUGCCGAUGGAACUAGUUGAUCAUCCACCUCCAUUCUGACAAGCAAUGUUUAUCAGCAAUAACAAAUGACUGAAGCAUUUUAAUGAGGUUAGUAACGAAAAAGAGUUUAAUUAGAGAAUAUUAUAAGAGAAAUUCUAAUUUUUGAUUUUUAAUAAAUUAAAAUAUCUUAAAAUAUUAUUAGUUGGUGGUGGUUUCAUGUCAGAUUAAGACGUGACACCUUACUAAUGAGGUCGAGACAAUUAGCUUAAAUUAUUUCAAUGCAUUUGAAAUUUCCACUAAUGACUAUAAUUCUUUGUCCUAAUUACUAUGAUAAUUAAUAACAUACAAUUGAAAUAGUUAAUAUUAGCACUUGGCAAUAAAUAAUUAAAUUUCAUUAACACUAAAUAAUAAUUGAAUAUGGCUUUGUACAUCGAUGACGCCAGCAACAAGGGGACCGCGAUUAUCACUCUUUAAGUUGCUUUUAAAAUUGAUUUUAGUAGUGAUAUGAUUAUUGUAGUGUUUUUAUUUUUUAUAUUAAAAUUAAGUGAUUUGUUAUAAUAAACUUAGUUGAGUUUAAUGGUAUUACUACAUAAAUUGAAUAGUUAUCAAAUAUUUUAAUAUUUUUAUGGCAAGCGUUGACGUGGCAUUUAUUUGUUGUAUGAUGGAUUUUAAAAUUUAUAAAAUUAUUUGUUAUUAAAUUACCCCCAGAUGCUACAUCACCUGAAACUUAAUAAAGGUAUGAAGACAUGUGUGUGUGGACUGAAAUGAAGAAUAUGGAAAAGUUGAGAGCUGUUGUGCAGAUUGAGUUCAGUUGAUGGGGUCUAUUAGAUAUUGUCUGCUGACGUGGCAUGAAUUCGUUAUAAUCUGUUAUAACGAGUUCAGUAUAUCAGUAUACAAUAGAGCUGAUGGAUGGUGCCUGUUUUAGAGUCUUUUUUAUAUUCAUUUGUUCAUCAUUUUGCGCAAGAUCUGUUCCAUUGUGAUAUGUGUAAAGUCUUAUGUAAACCCACUUAUGAUUGGAUUAGUUCUUGAUUAAUAACAACGAGUAAAUUUUCCUUCAAGUGUGCUGGUCUGUGCCCCUGUUUUUUGUUCUGAUAUUGUUUCUUUGUUCUGGCAUUUCAUUUCGAUUGUGUUCUUGGUGUUUCUACUCAUCAAGAUUUAUGAGUCUUGUUGAGAUUAAAGACUUAAUAGUCUUAACAAGUGGUAUCAGAGCCUGGUGAAUCUCAGCCAUGUCUCUUUCGAAGCAUGAAAUUGAAAAAUUCACCAUUGGUGGUGAUUUCUCGCUUUCGAAAUUAAAAAUGAGGGCUCUCCUUGUGCAUUAGAGGCUUGAAUUUGCUCUGGAAAAAGAUAAUCUAGAGGCUGCUACAAGUUAUGUGACUGAUGAUAAGAAGAGACAAAUCCAAAACCGAGCUCGUAGCACUCUAGUUUUGAGUCUUGGUGACUCAAUCUUGAGAAAGAUUUCUGAAGAGAAGACAACCUUAGGGAUUUGGAACAAGGUAGAAGCUUUGUGUACAAAGAAGUCGCUAGCUCACAGACUAUUCUUGAAGAAAAAGUUAUACACAUUCUCGAUGAGAGAAGGAGUCACAAUUCAAGAUCACAUUGAUACCUUCAACAAGAUCAUUCUUGAUCUUGAAGGGGUGGAAAAUGUGACAAUAAGUGAUGAAGAUAAAGCCUUCUUCUUGUUGAGUUCCUUACCAAAGUCUUAUGAAGGCUUUGUAGAUACAAUGCUUUAUGGCAGAACAACAUUGACUCUUGAAGAUGUUAAAGCAUCUCUAAGUUCAAAAGAGAUUCAGAAGAACAAUGAGAUUGAAACAAAUAAUGGUGAUGGGCUGAUUGCCAGAUCAGAAAAGAAGAAAGAUCAGAAGAAUAAAAAUCAGGGAAAAUGACAUGGAAAGAAUUAAGAAAAUGCAGACAAGAAGAAAAAGAAGAGAAAAUGCUUCUACUGCCGGAAGGAAGGGCAUUACAUCAGGGAUUGUCUUAAAAAGAAAAAAAAAGAAAGUCAAGAGAAGUCAGGGGAUGCAGCUGUAGCCUCUGAUGAUGCCUCUGAUGGAUAUCACAUUGCUGAUUUACUUGUGGCCUCAAAUAGCAAUACUAAAGGUCAGUGGGUCAUAGACUCUGAGUGCUCUUUUCACUUGUGGCCUGAUAAAACCAUAUUUUACAAAUAUGAAGUUGUUGAUGGUGGUAGAGUCUUAAUGGGAAAUAAUAAUGUGUGUAAUCUUGUUGGUAUUGGUUCUGUGAAGAUCAAGAUGUUUGAUGGAACUGUAAGAGCUCUACAUGAGGUGAGGCAUGCUCCUAGGCUAAAGAGAAAUCUAAUCUCUUUAGGCAUGCUAGACAGCUUAGGGUAUUUCUUUAAAUCAGAAAGUGGUGGUUUAGAGAUAAGAAAGGGGACUGAGAUAGUGAUGAAGGGGGUUAAAGAAAAUGGCUUAUAUGUAUUGUAAGGCUCAUCAGUGCUUCUUCAAAAGGGAAUUUCUGCUCUUUUUGAGGAAGAUAUAACCAAGUUAUGACAUCUUAGACUUGGUCAUAUGAGUGUCAAAGGGAUGUAAGAGCUCAGCAAACAAGGGCUACUUGGUGGGGAUAGAAUCCAGCAACUGGAAUUAUGUGAAAAUUGCAUUUUUGGCAAAGCUCACAGGUCCAAGUUUCACAAGGGGGAGCAUAUGUCUAAGCAAGUUUUGGACUAUGCACAUGCUGACCUUUGGGGGCCUGCUCAAGUCCCAUCCUUGAGUGGUGGCAGGUAUUUCAUAUCACUAAUUGAUGAUUACUCAAGGAAGAUGUGGGUCUACAUACUCAAGACCAAAGAUCAAGCCUAGGAAAAAAUUCAAGGUAUAGAAAUCUUUGGUAGAAAAUCAAUUUGGAUUCAAGCUCAAAUGCUUGAGAACUGAUAAUGGUUUGGAAUUUUGUAGCAAAGAAUUUGAGGAAUAUUACAAAAAAACAUGGCAUAAAAAGGCACAAAACAGUCAGGUUCACCCCCCAGCAGAAUGGCUUGGCUGAAAGGAUGAACAUGACCUUGGUAGAUAAGACCAGAUGUAUGUUGAUAAAUUCAAAGCUUCCAAGAAGCUUUUGGGCAGAAGCUGUCAAUACAACAAGUUGUUUGGUUAACAGAAGCCCAUAUUCUGCAAUUGGCUUCAAAACACCAGAAGAAUUGUGGAAGGAAAAACCUGUAAAUUACCAAAAUCUCAGUGUUUUUGGAUGCCCUGCUUAUCUCCACAUCAAUCAAGGCAAGCUGGAAGCUAGGGCCUUGAAAGGAGUCUUUGUUGGAUAUCCUGAUGGGGUUAAGGGAUACAUAAUCUGGUGUAGAGAGUAAGGGAAGUGUAUAGUCAGCAGGGAUGUUGUGUUUCAUGAAUUUGGAUUGCUAAAAGAAAAUGCAGAGAAUGAUACUAGACUACAAAAUGAUUCAAUAAUUAUCAAACAAUCUGGAACUUCCAAGGUUAAGGUGGAGCUGUUUGGAAAUAAAGACAGUAGAAAAGAGGUAGCUGAUUAUGAAGAGAGGACCACAGCUAAAGUUGAGGAACAUGAGUCAUCAGAGUUGCCACAAGCUGACUUGCAGACUUAUCAGUUAGCAAGAGAUAGAGUUAGAAGAGAAGUCAAAGCACUAGUGAGGUAUGGCUAUGCUGACUUAAUUACUUAUGCAUUGUUGUGUGCUGAUGAUGUGGCAAUUGAAGAGCCUGCUAACUUCUCUGAAGUUAUUGAAAGUGUGCAUUGUGAUAAGUGGCUUGAGGCAAUGCAAGAUGAAAUGGGAUCCCUUCAAAGAAAUCAGACCUGGACACUUGUUCCAAAUCUAGGUAAUAAAAAGUUGAUCAGUUGUAAGUGGAUCUUCAAGAAGAAUGAAGGAAUUCCAGAUGUUGAACCUCCCAAAUAUAAAGCAAGGCUAGUGGCUAGGGGGUUUACACAGAGAAAGAGUGUAGAUUUCAAUGAAAAAUUUUCCCCUGUUCUUAAGCACAUUUCAAUAAGAAUUUUAUUAGUCAUGGUAGCCUUACUUGACUUGGAGCUUGAGCAAAUGGAUGUAAAAACAGCAUUCCUUCAUGGUAAUCUUGAAGAACAGAUAUUGAUGGCACAACCUAAAUGUUUUGAGUGCAAAGGAAAUGAGGAUUAUGUUUGUUUGCUGCAUAAGUCCUUGUAUGGACUCAAGCAAUCCCCACGACAGUGGUACAUAAGAUUUGAUGAUUUUAUGGUCUCAAAAGGCUAUCACAUAAGCAAAUAUGACAGUUGUGUUUACUUUGGUGGAUCAUAUCAAGGUGGAGUUGCUUAUUUGCUUCUGUAUGUUGAAGAUAUGUUAAUUGCAAGAAAAUAUAAGUUGGAGAUAGAGAGGUUGAAGAAAUGAAGGAUCUCGGCAAUGCCAAAAGAAUCCUUGGGAUGAACAUUACAAGGGGCAGAUCUGCUGACACUUUGUUCUUGAGUCAUGAGAAAUAUAUCAAGAAGGUUCUGGAGAGGUUUGAGAUGCAAGACUAUAAACCUGUCCAAACACCACUUGGUCCCCAAUUCAAGUUGACAGCAGCUCAAUCAUCAGAAGAUGAGUCUCAGGUGAGUGAAUUCCCAUAUGCACAGGUUGUAGGGAGCCUGAUGUAUGUAAUGGUAUGCACCAGGUCAGAUAUAGCUUAUGCAGUAAGUGUUGUCAGCAAAUUUCUCAGUUGUCUAGGCAAGGUUCACUGGAAUGUUGUAAAAUGGAUAAUGAGAUAUCUUAAGGGCUCUUUUACUUGUGGUUUGCUGUAUGGGAAGACUAAGAGUGACAUAAGUGAAGUCCUGGGGUUUGUAGACUCUGACUUUGCUGGAGAUCUUGAUAGAAUGAAGUCAACCUCAGGGUAUAUGUUUGUGUUAAACAGUUGCCUGAUUAGCUGGAAGUCAUCACUUCAGUCUGUGGUUGCUUUAUCCUCAACUGAAGCUGAGUUUGUUGCAACUACAGAGGCAGUAAAAGAGGCCAUGUGGCUAAGAGGUUUGCUUAAUGAGUUAUGGUUAAAUCAGAAAAUUGUUCAGGUUUUCUGUGAUAACCAAAGUGUCAUACACCUGGUAAAGAAUCAGAUGUAUCAUGAAAGAACCAAGCACAUUGAUGUGAAGCUCCAGUUUAUCAGAGAUGAGGUUGGAAAAGGAACUAUAAUUGUGUCCAAGAUCUAUACCAGUGUGAAUCCAACUGAUGUUAUUACAAAAGCACUUCCCACUGCAAAAUUUGAAUUCUAUGUGAAUCUAAUGGGCAUCUCGCCCAAACCUAACUAAAUUCAAUAGUGAAUUGUAGUUGAAUGAAGGUUUUUUAGGUGCUGUGUUAUUGAAAGGAUCAACUGAAUCAACUGCAAGGUGGAGAAUGUGAAGAUGUGUGUGUGGACUGAAAUGAAGAAUAUGAAAAAGUUGAGAGCUGUUGUGCAGAUUGACUUCAGUUGAUGGGGUCUAUUAGAUAUUGUCUGCUGACGUGGUAUGAAUUCGUUAUAAUCUGUUAUAACGAGUUCAAUAUAUCAGUAUAUAAUGGAGCUGAUGGAUGGUGCCUGUUUUAGAGUCUUUUUCGUAUUCAUUUGUUCAUCAUUUUGCACAAGAUUUGUUCCAUUGUGAUCUGUGUAAAGUCUUCUGUAAAUCCACUCAUGAUUGGAUUAGUUCUUGAUCAAUAACGAGUAAAUUUUCCUUCAAGUGUGCUGGUCUGUGCCCCUGUUUUUGGUUCUAAUAUUGUUUCUUUGUUUUGGCAUUUCAUUUCGAUUGUGUGCUUGGUGUUUCUACUCAUCAAGAUUUGUGAGUCUUGUUGAGAUUAAAGGCUUAAUAGUCUUAACAAAAGGGAAUGUAGCAUUGCCAUUAAUCAACAUUCACUCUUAUGACUUUAUGACAUUAGAAUUAAAAUCUUUCGUACAUUUAAUUUAUUUGCUUCCAAAUUAAUCUUUAAUAAAUAUUUUUUCACAUUAUCAUCAAUGGACAAAACUCCAACGAAAAUAACUACACGAGAACAAUUUAUGCUAGUAUUAAAUGCCACGAUAUCUAUAACUUUGUCUGGAUCGAUCAUUCUAAUUUUUUCGCAGAACUUUUUGUCAAUGGACAAACACCUCACAGAGCUUGUCAGCCGCAUUAUUACGAUGUAAAAUUGUACCGGAAUAUCUUGAAUUAUUAGUAGAAUAAUGAAGACUAUUUGGGGCAAUAAAAACAAAUAACGCAGAUAAAAAAAUGGCUAAAAUUAUGUAAGUGAGCCCCAAAGUUUUUGCUAUUUCCAGGAAAUCCCAAAUUUGAAUGGACUAGAGGGAGGCACGUAAGAAAUACAUUUUCUUCCUAGACAAUGACAGCUAUGACAUCAAGCCACGGUGGCGUCAGUAUUGAAAUUAAGGUGUAAUUAUUCAGCCAAUGAGCCUUACACAUCAAGAUAAAAGUCAAGAUAAUGAAAAUUUGGCUGUUUCCAUUUGAAGUUAAAAGCAACGUUUCUUUCGUUUUGUGGGCGACUCGACUGAGCACGCCCCAAUAGCUAUAUUUAGGGCGUCAAUUUGAUAUUUGAAUGGACAGGCAAGUAAGAAAUACAUUUCCUUCAUAGACAAUGACAACGAGGACAUCAAGCCACAUCAUUAUAGUUUGUAGCCCAUCUACAUUUAAACGAUUAAUAAACAAGCUUAGGUGUGCCACUGCUAUUAUUAAUUAUCCCCUGAUCAUUAUAGUUUCUGAAACAGUAAAACUAAACGAAAUUGAAUACAUCAACGAGACCGCAAUUAUCACUUGUUUAGUUGCGGUAUUUAACUUAAUUUUAAUAUAAUAUAUUUGUUAGUUAAACUUUUAAUAAUCAAAUAAUUUUGAUUUAAAAAUAAAAUUAUAGAAAUUAUUAAUUAUUAAUUAUUAAAAAUUCACAAUUAAGGGAACGUUCAUCAAACACACAUAGCUAUUGUUUUCUCUAUAUAUUGCAGUGUGUACGAUAUUGAGGGUUGAAGCCCCAAGCAUGCUCUAAAAUCCAGAUAAUAAUUAGAUCCGGGCCAAAUAUUCAUCAUUGUGUCAGCUGAUCAGUCGGUGGACAUCUCUAUUGAAAAUAUCUCUGACAUUUCACUCGACAAACUUAUUAAUAUAAAAAAUCUGUGGUUUUGCCGUCUGAAUAAUGUAGAAAAAUUUGUCUAUGCAUUAAUCUAGAUGUUUGAGGUGAUUUAUACAUCUGUGGUAAAGAUUUAUAGGUUGACUUAGACGUCUGUGGUAUAGAUUUUAUGUAUUUCAUUACAAAAUGCUGGCCGUUAGAACCCUUUCUACAUCUAUUUAUAAGAUUAACGGGUGCCAGCUAUGCCAUUACAAAUUAUCCCCUCAUCAGAUAUUUCGUUAAAAUUCAUUCUGAAACACUAAAACUAAAUAAUCGAAUAUGGCUUUGCGGGUCGAUGAUGCCAGCAGCAAUGAGACUGCAAUUAUCACUUGUUUAGUUUCUGUGCUGGCCGUGGUUUACUUCGCAUGGAAUGUGAAAAAAUCAAGGAAAGCAAAUGCUACACUGCCACCAGGACCUCGCGGCUUGCCUGUAUUCGGAUACCUCCCAUUUCUUGGAACUACUGACUUGCACAAGAAAUUCACGGAAUUAUCCGGAGUUUAUGGUCCGAUCUUCAAGCUUUGGCUUGGAAAUAAAUUAUGUGUAGUGGUGAGCUCACCUUCCCUAAUUAGACAAGUGGUUCGUGAUCAAGAUACAACAUUCGCGAACCGUGACCCACCGAAGGCUGCACUAGUGGUCUCCUAUGGUGGCAAUGAUAUUGCAUGGUCCAAUUACGGUCCCGAAUGGAGAAAGUUGCGCAAAUUUUUUGUGGGCAAGAUGAUGAAUAACGCAAGCCUUGAUGCUUGUUAUGCUCUAAGAAGACAAGAGGUUAAAAAUACUAUCAGGGAUUUGUAUAACAACGACAACAAAAUUGGCAAGCCCAUUGACAUUGGUGAAUUGUCGUUUUCAACAUUGGUAUGUGCUAUACAGAACAUGCUGUGGGGUGAAGCGCUUGAAUUAAAAGAGAAAGGGACCACUAAUCUUAGGGCUGGGCUAAAAUUUAAGCUGGCAGAACUCAUGGUGCUUGCGGGAACACCGAAUAUUUCGGAUGUCUUUCCAAUGCUUUCAUGGCUUGACAUACAAGGUAUAGAGAGGAGAGCAAAGAAGAUUUCACUCUGGCUUGAUAAUGUUAUAAAUUCUACUGUUGAACAGCAUAGAAACAAGGAGUUAACUGUUGAAGGUGAAGAAAGAGCGGGGAAAAAUUUUGAAGGAUCAAGGAACAAGAACUUCUUGCAGUUACUAUUGGAGCUUCAAGAAAAUGAUGACAGUGCUUCCUCAAUUAGCAUGAACCAAUUCAAGGCCGUACUCGCGGUAUGUUAAGCAACUAGCCACGAACAGUUAUACAAGCACAAUUGUAUAUUUGCAUGAGUGAUAUUUUCAACCUUUUUUUUUAAUUAGAAUUUUAUUGUCACCUUUUGGACAGGAUAUAAUUACGGCUGGAACCGACACCACAACUACGAUGGUGGAAUGGACAAUGGCAGAGUUGAUGCAGCAUCCACAAGUAAUGAAGAAAGUUCAGGAAGAAUUAGCUCAAGUUGUGGGCAUGGACAGUUGUGUUGAAGAAUUUCACCUGUCUAGAUUAAUGUAUUUAGAUGCUGUGGUGAAGGAAACAUUUCGUCUGCAUCCUGCAGUGCCUUUAUUACUACCACGUAGGGCAAGCGAGAGUGGCAACAUUGGUGGCUAUACCAUUCCCAAAGAUACAACUCUUAUGUUGAAUGUUUGGGCUAUCCACAGGGACCCUCACCUUUGGGAUAAUCCCUUAGAAUUUCGACCCGAGAGGUUUCUGAAUGUUGGUAUCGAGAGUAAGUUCGAUUACUCAGGUAACAAUUUUCAGUACUUGCCAUUUGGUUCUGGUAGAAGGAUGUGUGCUGGGAUUCCUCUAGCUGAGAGGAUGCUGAUGUUUGUUUUGGCUUCGUUAUUGCACUCAUUCGAGUGGGAAUUGCCAACUGGCACAAAGCUAAACUUAUCAGAAAAAUUUGGGAUUGUCAUUAAGAAAAAAGAGCCUUUGGUUGCUAUUCCAACACCAAGACUAUCCAAUUCAGAGCUCUACCAUUAAGACCAAAUGGUUGUGAUGAUUUUGUUAAUUUCCGAAGAUUUGUAUGUUAUUUCAAGUUCAAUCGUAGUAAAAUAUUUCAAAUAAGAGUCCUCCGUUGCUUUUUUUUUUUUUUUUCAACGGCAUAAUCUGUGGUCAUGCUUGUAUUUGGAGCCACUUUAGAAAAAUUAUGUUUGAAUUACAAUUUAUAAAUAUUACAUUUUAAAAUAUUAUGAGGCUAAAUUUAUACACGUUCAAUAACCCGCUUCAUAUAUAUUUAACACAAUUUAUAUCAUACAUUGUACACCCAUUUAUCAUAAAUUACACUAUUUUGUAUCUCUAAAUAAUAUUACGUAUUGAUAUUAUAAAAUAUAUAUGGAAAAGAGAACAAAGAAGAUUUCUUAUGGUUUGAAAAUAUUAUGAAUUCUGCUGUUGAACAGUAUGGAAACAAGGUCUCUGUUGUUAAAGGUGAAGAAGCAACAGGGAACAAUAUUGAAGGAAGAAAUUUCACAUGUUUAGUUGCUGAAUUUGCCGCUGUAUUCUAUCGGUAGUAAAAAAAUUAGAGUUUUUAUUUUUCUCUAUUAAUGUUAAGUCAAUUUUCUAUAACAAAUUCGGUUGAGUUUAAUUGUGUUACAAUAUAAAUUGAAUGAUAAUAGAAUUUUCAACGAAUAUUUCAAUAUUUCUAUCUCGAUUGUUGAAGUGCCAUUUAUUUGUUAUGCGAUCGAUUUUAAAAUUUAUAAAAAUUAUUUGUUACUAAAUUGCAUCAUAUGCUAAAAUCACCUGAAACCUAAUUCCAUAACUAACCCUUUAUUUUUAGUUCUCAAGAAAUCUUGUAAGAACAAAAUUCUUUUAUAACAAAACUUUUACAACACAUUAAUUUGUAACUCAUUCCUGUGCGAGAAUCACUCUCAAAUUCCUUCAAUUGCUGUUGAACAAUCAUCUGCUUAUCAAAAUUCAAGCAUAAUCUUUUCUUUUUUUUAAUUUCUUCAUCAUUCUUUUGAAAAAAAAAAAUCAGGAUAUGCUGUUAAAAUUUUGAAAUAAAUUAUCUCAAAAUAAUUACUAACCAGAAAAAACAAAGGGGUUUAACUAGGUUAUGCAUACCUUUGAAAAUUAUAUGUUGAUCGAUAAGAAUGAUGAUCACGAUUGAGGAGUUUAAUUAAAAUAUAUAAGAUUUUAAAAUUAAUCAGGGUUAAAUUGUGAAUUUUAGAAAGAGAGGUUUUGUGAGAAUGCUGAAAGGGUGUUAAUAGUUCCACUCUUUUUAAAAGCAACCAUAGUCAUCAUUUUUCCCGAUUUCUUCUUCCCAUCUCCAUCUUAUUUAGAAAUUUCCCAGAGCCUUUGUUUCCCACCUUUCAUUGUUCUUCUUUCUAAUUUAAUACUAUAGGAUUACAAAAAUAAUUACUCACAUUUUAUCAAACACCUCCAUUCUACCAAGGCCUUGUUUUAGUAGUAGGCUUUUAUUAUCUCAAUAAAAUUGAAAAAACAAAUCUCAAUAAUAUUGGAAAAAAAAAACCUACCCAUAUUUGUAACUUUAAUUUAUUAUUCUCCAUAGACCUACUUUUUAGCUUUGAAUUUUGUUGGAGCCAUAUAUAAACAGAAUAUGUUGAAUCAGCACCAAAAAAAAAAAAAAAAAACUAAUUAUAUAAUUUCUGUUCCCAAGGACAUGACUGAUUGAUUUUCAAGAAGUUUUGUUUGGCUGGCUACUUAGGUUUAAAUCUUGGUGGAGAUUAGGGGUUAAGAAAUAAAUUUGGACUUUGCACACCCCUUUAACUUUUAAAAAGAAAUGAAAAAAACUAAUUAAUUAAUCUUUAUUUUAUUUAUUAAAUAUCAUAAUCCUAUGCGUAUUUUAUUUGUUAUCUUUCUAUUUAAAAGACAGGAGGGCAGAUAAAACUGAAAUAAAUUUUUAGCCCUAUCUCCAUCUUUCAAGUUCCAUAGUUAGGUGACCAGGUAAAGAAAAUUAAUUGAAAGCUACUCCAUCAAAUUAAAAAAUUUUAUUUAUUUAAUUUGUGGAGAUGUAGAAAAUCAAACCCCAUGCCUUUUCGCGUGGAAAAGUGUCAACCUGGUCUAGCUAUGUUGCAAAAGUGAACAUAUUUUAAUACAUGACUAUCAUCCUUUAUCCUAAAUACUACUAUAACUAAUAACAUACAAUUGAAAUAAUUAAUGUUAACACUUGGCUAUAAAUAAAGGUUUUGUGCUUGAAUCUUCACGCAUGACCUUCAUUCCUUUAUUUACUUUGCUAACACAGAUUUUGAGGCAUUAAAACUAAAUAAUAAUUGACUUUGUGGGCCGAGGAUGCCAGCAACAAGGAGACCACAAUUAUCACUUGUUAAGUUACUCUAAUUGCCGUUGUCUUAUAUUCAUAGAAUAUUAGUAAUAAGAUUAUUGUAGAAUUUUUUUAUAUUAAAAUUAAGUCAAUUUGUUAUAACAAAUUUAGUUGAGUUUAAUCGUGUUACCACAUAAAUUGAAUAAUAAUAAAAUUCUCGACAAAUAUUUCAAUAUUUUUAUCCCAAGCGUUGGAGUGGCAUUUAUUUGUUAUACGAUCAAUUUUAGAAUUUAUAAAAUUAUUCGUUACUGAAUUGCACCAUAUGCUGCAUGACCUGAAACUUAAUAAACGGAACGUAGCGUUGGCACCGUUACUCAACAUACUGUUACGACUUUGUGACAUUAGAAUUAAAAUCUUUUGCACAUUUAAUUUGUUUACUUCCAAAUUAAUAUUUAACAAAAUAUUUUUUCACAUUAUCAAUGGACAAAACUCCAACGAAAAUAACUACACAAGAAAAAUGUAUGCUAGUAUUGUGUGCCAUAUCAUCUGUAAUUUUGUCAGGAUCGAUCAUUCUAAUUUUUAAGCAGAACUUUUUAUCAAUGGACAAACACCUCACACAGCUUGUCAGAGGCAUUAUUAUGAUGGAAAACUGUAAUGGUAUAUCUUGAAUUAUUGGUAGAAUAGUUCUUUGGAGCAAUAAAAACAGAUAAGACAGAUGAGAAAAUUGUCAAUACCCCACCGCAAAAGCAAAAGAAAAAAAGGAAAGGAGACAAAAGAGGAAGAAGAAAAAGAAAAAAGAACGAAGAAAAAAAUGGUGCCGCGCGGUAUAGGCAAGAAGAAAAAAUAAUAAUAAAAUAAUAAAAUAAUAGUGCACAACAGUCAUUUGAUUGCUAUAAAUAAAGGGGCAUUUCCCUCAUUUUAUUCAUCGAAUUCUUCAGUUCCUAAGCGAUUUAAGAGUCUAGUGAUUUGAGAGUUUGGGUAUAGUAUAGUUUUGAGUAGUGAGUUAAAAUAUUACAAUACUUAUAACUUAUUUUUACUAAUAAAAUAUUUUUCUUCUAUCUUCACCCGUGGACGUAGGGUCAAAGCCGAAUCACAUAAUUUUUAGUAUCCCUAUGUGAUUAUGUAUCUCAUUAUUUUUCAAUUUUACUUUAGUUACGUGUCUGCUACAUCCUUCAAUUUACUAACAAAAAUGGCCAAAAUUAUAUAAGUGACCCAAAUUUUUUUGCUAUUUCCAAGAAAUCUCCAAUCUGAAUGGGCCAGACCAGAGGGAGGCAAGUUAGAAAUACGUUUCCUUCAUAGACAAUAACAGCGAUGAGUCGAUGACAUCGAGCCACGUCGGUAUCAAUAUUGAAUUAAAGGUGCAAUUAUUCAGCCAAUGAGCCUUACACAUCAAGAUAAAAGUCAAGAAAAUGAAUAUUUAUCCUAAUUAAAACACUUUCUGGCUGCAUUUAGUUGUUUCCAUUUGAAGUUAAAAGCAACGUUUCUUUCGUUUUGUGGGCAACUCGACUCAGUUAGCUGGCUUCUAGUGCUAGUAAGUGAAAAUAGAAGGCUAAUGAUUUAUUUGUUAUCUUUUGAUAAAAUUAUUAAAGAUAUAAUAGAUUUUUCAUGAUACAAAUAAAAAAUCACAUCAACAUAGCUUCCAAAGUACAACAGCUAAUGUUUACCAAACACUUUGUUGUAGCUUUUAAGCUACAGCUGCCCAACUUUAAUUUCAAAUGCACCCUUAAUAGGUUGAUUGAAUUUGUGGGAUAUAGAUUCCACAUAUCGUAUGACCUAGUAACUAUACAAGUGGUUCGUGAUCAAGACACAACAUUUGCUUCCGGCCCGGUGACCCAGCAAUCGCUGCAUUGGUCGCCACCUAUGGUGCCAACGAUAUUGCAUGGUCCAAUUGUGGCCUUGAAUGGAAAAAGUUGAGCAAAUUAUUUGUGGACACGAUGAUAAGUAACGCAAGCCUUGAUGCUAGUUAUGGUCCAAGAAAACAAGAGAUAUGCAUAACAACAAAAAGGAAAAAAAAAAAAAAAAAAAAAAAGGCAUUUGCAAGCCCAUUGAUAUUGGUGAAUUGUCGAUUUCAACUUUGGCAUGUGUAAUCCAGAGCCUGCGCGCUGUGGUGUGGCGCUGGCACGCUUGCAUUGACGAGGGGACAAGUCUUGGGGCUGAGCUAACAUUUAAGCUCGCAGAACUCAUGGUGCUAAUGGGAACACCAAAUAUUUUUUGACAUAUUUUGGUGCUUUCAUGGUUUAAUUCAAGGUAUAGAAAGGAGUGUUGAGAAUGUCAAAUAAAACGGUAUUGAAUGGAAGUUGUUAAAGACACGAUCCGCACCGAACGACAACAGCACGGUUGCUAAAAAUCCUUCCGUAAUAGGCAUAUCUAAUUUUUGAAAAAGUGUAACCUCUACAUUUAUAAAUAUACUCAAUGUAUAAUGUUUUACUUAAGAAAUGAAAAACUUGUUUGUUCAAGGAGAAUAAAGAAAAAUUUUCUAUGAUUUUUCUAUGGUUUGAACAAAGAAGGUUUUAACGAGUAUUAUAGACCUCGAUUGAAUGUUCGAAUGUAUAAUAAAAGAGAAACUGUCACAUAAAUGACAAAGAUACUUGAAAAAAAAAAAAAAGGGCAGCAAUAGAGAAUUAGAUCCGACUGUACAAAUAACUAGUUAAUUCAUCGAUACAUCAUUUUCUUGCUAGAAAAUGACAAUUAUGACAGCAAGCCACGAUAGUGUCAAUAUUGAAAUUGAUUUGCAAUUAUUCAGCCUAUGAGCCUUACACGUCAAGAUAAAAGUCAAGAAAAUGAAAGUUAAUAUCAAUUAAAACACUUCCAUUUCUAUGUGAAGUUAAAAAACAACGUUUCUUUUGUUUUGUGGGGGAUUCAACUGAGCACGCGCCACUAGCUAGCUGGCUUCUAGUUCUAGCAUAUGAAAACAGAAUUCUAAAGAUUUCACUUUCACCUUUUUUCUUUUUUUGGGGUUUUGAAUCAAAGUCAAGGUCGCACUGAAUAAUAUGUAAAAUUUGAAAAAGAAGAAUUAAUAGAGAACAAAGUUUUGUUUUAAAUUCACAUGGUGUGCAUACAAUUCAACAAACACUUCCUAUAAUAAAUCUGGAGUUGUAUCCCACGUUGAACAAUAAAGGAAAGUCACCUAAAUAUACAUGUAGGAUAAGUUACUUUAUUUAGUAAGUUUGUAUUUUCUUCUUUCUUCUAGUUUACAUAUAAAUUUGAUUAGAUAACUUAACACAUAUUUUAAUACUUGAUCAGAAGCCCGACGUACAGGUGGAUCUAGAAACUUGAUUUCUAAGAGUAAUACUAUAAUAAAAAAAUAAUGAUUCAUAGAACCAAUAUCAAAAUUUGUUUACAAGAUUGCCCCCACUCAAAGGUAAUUUUCAUAGAAAUUAAUAGGAAAUUUAAUUGUUAGUGGGGUCAAAUUGCCCCCACACUCUGAAUGUAGAUCCACGCCCGACCCUGAGUCAAGUAUAUUUUGCCACAUAUACUCUGAAUGUCGGCAGGAAAAAUCUUCCACUUUAGUUAAAAAUUUUCACUUAAAAAAUAUUUAUGUUAAUAAAGUUCGUAAAGGAAAUGAGUUUAAUUAAUGAAUAUUAUAGGAGAAAUUAAAGGAAAUGAGUUUAAUUAAAGAAUAUUAUAGGAGAAAUUCUAUUGUUCGGCUUUUAAUAAAUUAAUUAAUAGGUUUAAAAGAUUAAUAUACAUCAAAAUAUUAUUAGUUGGUGGGGGUUCCACAUCGGACUAAUACGUGUCACCUUACUUGUGAGAUUAAGACAAUCGACUUAGACUAUUUAAAUAUGUUUGAAGCUUAGAUGGCACCGCUUCAAUUUGCAUUACUGAAUGUCAUUCUUUAUCCUAAUUACUACCGUAAUUGAUAACAUGCAAUUGAAGUAACUAAUAUUAGCACUUGGCUAUAAAUGAACUAAAGGCCGUGCAAUUGAAUCUUUACUUGAUCACUUCACUCCUUUAUUUUGCUAACACAGAUUUUGAGAUAUUAAAACGAAAUAAUAAUUGAAUCUGGCUUUGUGGGUCGAUGAUGCUAGCAAAAACGAGACCACAAUUAUCACUUGUUUAUUUGCUGUAUUUGACGUUGUUUCAUAUUGGUAGUAAUAGGGUCAGUUUUUAAUCUUUUUAUAUUAAAGUUAAGUCAAUUUGUUAUCAAAAAAAAAAAUUGGUUGAGUUUAAUUAUAUUGCUAUGUACAUUAAAUAAUUAUAAUAUUCUUGAGGGAAAAAGACACCUAGAACCUCAAGGUUUGGGGAAAUGGUCACAAAGACUCCUAAGUUUUAAAAAAGGAACACUAAGAUCUUUUUUUACCCAUAAUACCCUUUGACUAGAGUAAUUAAAAAAUUGACUUUAAAGGUUUUUAAAUAAUUCUAAUUUAAUAUAAAUCAUAUAAUCUAUCUAGUAAACUAAUAAUAUUAAAUUAUUUUUUAUAUUUAAAAUAAUGUUAAAUUUUAAAUUAUUAUAUUUAUAAAAUUAUAAAGAUUUUAAAUAAAUAUUUGGAUUGAAUAUAUUUUACAAUUAAAAGUCUUCCUAUUAAUAAUAUUAAAAUUUAAUUUUACAAAAUAUAUAUUCAAAAUAUUUUUAAUUUUAAUUUAUUUAUUUUAAUAUUAUGUUUCUACCUAUUAUUAAAAAUUACUUUAAUAUAAUAAAAUAGGUCUAAUAGAUUGAAAAAUAUGAAAAUAUUUUUAAAAUUUUAAAUUAUUUUGAAAUGUAUAUAUUAUUACAUUUAUUUCAAUGUCAUAUUUUCAUUUAUUAUAAAAUUUUGGGGUUAUUUUUUUGGGAAUUUAUAGAGUCAAAGAGCAUUAUAAUUUAAUCCAUGCACAAUAUCUAUAAUUAUAUCGGUUGUCGGCUGAUUUCGUGGAGGGGGCGGCAGUUCAAAAUUUUUACGUGCAUGUUGGAUGGACGUCUCUAUUAAAGGAGAGCCACCACUUGCAUGGUAAUUUUUUUAAAUAAAUAUAUACAUUUCAAAACAUUAUUUUCUUGUUGUAUAGUUAACAUGUCACCUUAGAUGUAUUUUAGAGCUUCUCCUAUUAAAGAUAAUCUCAUGCAGUGUUACAGAGUAUGGUAAUAUGGUAUAGAUGAGAGCAUCUGAUUAAAUGAAGCAGCUGGUAAUGCUUACGUGUGUGAGUUAGUUAUCCAGCUCAGCAGCAAAGCAAACGAAAUGAAUUGCAUGCAUAUUAGAUCCAACAAACUGGUAAACUCUAGAUUCUUCUUUCAUUUAGUAUAAAUACCAAGUUGUUAUCAUUUGCUAAAUAUAUAAUAAGAUGAUCAUUUUCAGAUCUUUCCUUUAUAAUUUUCUAUAACUUUCUCGUUAGUUUCUCUUGAACCAAACACUUUGUACGAACUCUUUCGUGCAGUGAUACUUCUCGUGAUCUAAUCAUUAGUAGAAUCUAUAAUUUCGCUACUGUAAUAAAAUCUGUCACUACCCUAUAUGAAUGUAGAUAUUUGACGCGAUUUGUAAUUGCUUCCGACAGGAAAACAGCAAUAGUUUUAUUGAAAUUUGUGGUAUAGAUUCCACGAAUCUUAUGACAGAAUACUGACCACUCCAACCCUAUCCGCAUUUACACGAUUAAUACACAAGCUUAGAUGUGACAAUGCAUUUGUCACUCAUUCAAAUUCAUCCUGAAACACUAUACACUAAAUAAUCGAAUAUGGCUUCGUGGGUCGAUGAUGCUAGCAGCAACGAGACUGCAAUUAUCACUUGUUUUGUUGCUGUACUUGUCGUGGUCUAUUUCGCAUGGAAUGUAAACAAAUCAAGUAAAGCAAAUGCUAAAUUGCCACCAGGACCUCGGGGCUUGCCAGUAGUCCGAUACCUCCCAUUUCUUGGAACUACUGACUUACACAAGACAUUCACGGAGUUAUCUGGAGUUUAUGGUCCGAUCUUCAAGAUUUGGCUUGGGAAUAAAUUGUGUGUAGUGGUGACCUCGCCUACCCUAGUUAAACAAGUGGUCCGUGAUCAAGAUAUAACAUUCUCAAACCGCGACCCACCGAUCGCUGGAACUGUGACCACCUACGGUGGCAAUGAUAUUGCACUUUCCAAUUACGGUCCCGAAUGGAAAAAGUUGCGAAAAUUAUUUGUGAGCAAGAUGAUGAGUAAUGAGACCCUUGAUGCUUGUUAUGCUCUAAGAAAACAAGAGGUUAAAAAUACUAUCAGGGAUUUGUAUAACAACAAUAAGGAUAAUAUUGGCAAUGGCAAUGGCAAGCCCAUUGACGUUGGUGAAUUGUCGAUUUCAACUUUGGUACGUGUUAUGCAGAACAUGCUGUGGGGUCAAGCAUUGGAAACAAGAGAGAAAGAGAUUACUAAUCUCGGGGCUAAUCUUGCAGAACUCAUGGUGCUACUGGGAACACCAAAUAUUUCGGAUAUUUUUCCAGUGCUUUCAUGGCUUGACAUGCAAGGUAUAGAGAGAAGAGCUAAGAAGAUUUCUCUAUGGUUUGAAAAUAUUAUCAAUUCUGGUGUUGAACAGUAUAGAAACAAGUUCUCUGUUGUUAAAGGUGAAGAAGCUGCAGCACGAAAAAAUAUUGAACGAUCAAGAAAUAAGGACUUCUUGCAGUUGCUGUUGGAGCUUCAGGAAAAUGAAGAUAGUGCUUCAUCUAUUAGCAUGAACCAACUAAAGGCCGUGCUCGUGGUAUGUUAAGCAACUAGACACAAAAAGUUGUAAAAGCACAGCGAUAUAUUUGCGCGAGGCCCCGAGUGAUGUUUUGCCUCGAGAACUCUCAAUUUUAUCUUACGGUAAAAAAUGUUUUUCAACUUUUUUUUUUAAUUAGAAUUUUAUUGCAAUUUAUUUAACAGGACAUAAUUGUGGCCGGAACCGACACCACAACUACGAUGGUGGAAUGGACAAUGGCAGAGUUGAUGCAACAUCCACAAGUAAUGAAGAAAGUUCAAGAAGAAUUCGCUCAAGCUGUGGGCAUGGACAGUUGUGUUGAAGAAUAUCACUUGCCUAAAUUAAAGUAUUUAGAUGCUGUGGUGAAAGAAACAUUUCGUUUGCAUCCUGCGUUGCCCUUAUUGGUACCUCGCACGGCAAGCAAGAAUAGCAACAUUGGUGGCUAUACCAUUCCCAACGACACUAAUCUUAUGUUGAAUGUUUGGGCUAUCCACAGGGACCCUCAACUUUGGGAUAAUCCCUUAGAAUUUCGACCUGAGAGGUUCUUGAAUGAUGGUAUCAUAAGCAAUUUCAAUUACUCGGGUAACAAUUUUCAGUACUUGCCAUUUGGUUCUGGUAGAAGGAUGUGCGCUGGGAUUGCUCUAGCUGAGAGGAUGUUGAUGCUUGUUCUGGCUUCGUUGUUGCACUUGUUUGAGUGGAAAUUGCCCUCGGGCACAAAGCUAGACUUAUCUGAAAAGUAUGGGAUUGUCAUGCGGAAAAAAGAGCCUCUAAUUGCUAUUCCAACACCAAGGCUACCAAAUUCAGAUCUCUACCAGUAAGAUCAAAAUGGUUUUGAUAAUAUUAUUUCCCAUUGUAUUGGAUUUGAAGUUCAAUCAUAAUAAAAUAUUUUAAUAAAAUGUCCUCGGUUGCUAAUUUUUCAAUAGUAUAAUCUGCACCUGUCUUUUAUAGCAAUUUGGUCUAAUUUAUUUUUGAAUUAAAAUCCAUAAAUAUUUAUAUUUUUUUAAUUAUAUUAGGAAUUAUGUGGGGUGUAUGGUCUGAUCUUCGAGCUAUGCCUUGAAAACAAAUUAUGCAUAGUCGUGCACACGCUUUCCCUAAUUAAGUUUGUGGUUCGUGCUCAAGGCACAGCAUUCACCCCCCGCGACCCAACAAUCGCUACAUUGUUCCCCACCUAAAGUGCCAACAUAUUGCAUAAGUAACGCAAAAUAUGGUCCCCAAUGGAAAACGUUGCGCAAAUUAUUUCUGGGCAAGAUGAUAAGUAACGCAAGCCUUGAUGCUUGUUAUGGUCUAAGAAAACAAGAGGUUAAAAAUACUAUCAGAGACAUAUAUAAAACAACAACAGAAAAAAUUGGCAUUAUCAUCGAUAAUGGUGAGUUGUGGAUUUCAACUUUGGUAUGUUUAAUUCAGAACCCGCAGUGGGGUGGCGCUAGCACGCCUGCGUUAGGAGACGAGGGGACCAAUCUUGGGGCCGAGCUAAAAUAUAGGCUUGUAGAGCUCAUGCUGCUAAUGGUAAUGGGAACACCUACUAUUUCGGAUACUUUUCCGAUGCUGGUUUAAUUCAUGGUUUAGAAAGGAGAACAAAGAAGAUUUUUCGAUGCUUUGAAAAUAUUAUAAUUUUUAUAAAAUCUCUUAUUGAUAACUAAACAACUAAAAUUUCUGUAAAGUUUUUGUGGACUUUUGAUCUCCUAUGGUGCCAAUAUUUUCGACUAAUUUUUUCCUUCAAUUAAUGAUGUUGGUUGAGAAAGACUAUUUUUCUUGCAAUAAUAUAGUAUUCGUGGUCCUAUUAGGGUUCCGAAUGGAGAAAGUUGCACUAAGUUUUUUGAGUACCAAAUGAUGAGUAAUGUACGUAAGCCUUGAUGGUAGUUAUGGUCUAAGAAAACAAGAGGUUAAAAAUACUAUCUGGGAUUUGUACAACAAUAACAAAAUUGGCAAGCCCAUUGACAUUGGUGAAUUGUCAGUUUCAACCUUGGUAAGUGUUUUCAGAACAUGCUGUGGGGUGAAGCGCUUGGAAUAAGAAAGAAACGGAUGACGAAUAUUGGGGCUGAGCUUAGAUUUAAACUUGCAGAACUCAUGGUGCUGUCAGGAACACCGAAUAUUUCGGAUAUCUUUCCAGUGCUUUCAUGGUUUGAUAUACAAGGUUUUGAGAGAAUAGCAAAGAAGAUUUCUCUAUGGUUUUAAAAUAUUAUCAAUUCUACUGUUGAACGCUAUAGAAACAAGGUCUCAGUUGUUAAAAGUGAAGAAGAAGACGCAGCAGCAGCAGCAGCAGGGAACAACAUUGAAGGAAGGAAUAAGGACCUGGUGCAGUUACUCUUGGAGCUUCAAGGUAAAGAAGAAAAUGCUUCAUCAAUUAACAUGACGCAAUUUAAGAGCUUGCUCGUGGUAUGUUUGCGCAACUAGCCACAGACAGUUACAGAAACUGAGUUUGGCAGAUUACGACCGUUUCUGGUGAUUAUAUAACUAUUUGUGGCUGUUUUUUGUUUUUUUUUUCUUUUAAUUGGAAUUUUAUUGUAAAUUUCUUAACAGGAUAUAAUUUAGGGUGGAACCAACACCACAACUAUAAUGGUGGAAUGGACAAUGGCAUAAUUGAUACAGCAUCCACAAGUAAUGGAGAAUGUAAAGGUAGAACUAAGUCGGGCCGUGGCCAUUGACAGCCAUGUUGAAGAAUUUCACCUACCUAAGUUAAAAUAUUUAGAUGUUGUGGUGAAAGAAACAUUCCGCACGAUAAUAUAAUAUAUGAAUCAUAUAUCCUCUAUUGGUUUUUUGCUCCUUUUUUUUUCAAUAGCUUAAUCUAUCAUUAAAAUCUUCUGAAAUUCUAAAUUAAUAUACAUUCAACCUAGAGUUCAACCCAAAGUUUUAUUGAGCAUUAAAAAAAAAAAUUCUACGACUAAAAAUUUUACAGAGUAUAAAUUAAAAAUUAUGCGCCUACUAACAGACAAAAAACAAUUGAUACACAUUCACCAAUCAAAGGCAAACAAGAGAUUAUUAACAAUAACUUAAUAAUAAAAUUAUAAGGAAUCAAAUAGAAAUGGUACCUAGAAACACAUCACGCCAUUUAAUCAAUCACUUACCCAUAAAAUCCAAACUUAUAAACUAUUAAGGGGGGGAAAUGGAUACCUUUGGGUUUCAUUAAAUCAAAAUUACAACACCAUUAAAUACUCAAAAAUGAAAAAAAAAAAAUCAUACCCAAUAAAAGAGAAAAAAAUAACCCACAAAAAAAAUCAUCAAGAAAAUAAAUUUGAGACUAAGAGAAGAUAUUAAUUAACGCCUGGGUUGCAUUGGAACCACGGCUUUGGCUUCCAUUUUUCAAUUCUUGGUCACAAGUGAUUUCUUGUUUGUUUGCAAUGAUGACGGUUGAUUAAUGAAGCUCUAUUAACAAUGAAUGAAUCAAAAAACUUGAGCCUUGAAAAGACUAACGGUCAUAUUUUUCAACUCCGAAUUAGUGGCGUUUGAUGAGUCCUUGCCAAAACAAUCACUCGGCAGAUAACGAUCAUUUUUCAACCAGCAAAACUCAUUCAUUGUUUUUCACCUUAGUGAAGAUUUAAAAAUUGUUUCAAAAUAGGAUUCUUAAAAAAAUAAUAAUAAAAUGAUAUUUAACUUAAUUCUAACUUAGGAAAACAAAAUAUCUACACUCCCAAAGUU